UGGUGUUUUUGAGGUGAAAAUUGGGGAUUUUUGGCCUAUGUAGUGAAGAGUAAUAAUUGGAGAUUUGAGUGACGAUUUGGUGUCAGAAUUUAGUAAUUUUGAUAUGGUUGGACUCGUGGUUGAAUGGGUGUUUGGAUUUUAUUAAUUUUGUCAUAUCUUGAGACGCGGGCCUGGGGUUGACGUUUUGAGUUGACUUUUUGAUUUUGUUUUUUAAAGAACUUAGCUUAUUCAUAUGGAAUUGAUUCCUAUAGCUCGUGUUGAUUUUUGAGUUGUUCGUUGCUAGAUUCGAGUCAUUCGGAGGCCGAUUCGCGAGGCAAAGUCUUGUUGGAGUAGAGAUUUACACGGUUUUGCGGUAAGUAACACUUCUAAACUUGGCUAUGAGGGUAUGAAUCCCUGAAUUACGUGUUAUGUGGUUAGUGUUGAGGUAAUGCACAUGCUAGGUGACGGGCGUGUGGUCGUGCACCAUGAAAUUGUGACUCAAUCCAUUCAGUGGAACUGUGUAGUCAUCUAAUCUUGUUAUUAUUCGUGUACUCUCCAUGUGUUAGAGGAAUUGAGCUAUAAUUCAUGUUAGAAAUCAUGUUUAGGCUAUAUGCUGGUAUGUUGGGACCCACAAAGGUCAUUUUGUUGUGGAAUUAUUUGCUAAUUUGAAAUCAUGUACUCAGUCACAUCUAUCCUUUACAUAUCAUAUCUCAAUCUCUGUUUCCAUUAUUGUUACAUCAUAUUAUCAUUUUUGGGCUGAUUGUUAUGAGAUUCGUGAGCUCGAAAGACUGGAGAGAUUGAUGACUGAGUGAGGCCGAGGUCCUGAUUGUGAGUGAUGUUUAUGGGAUCAGGUUGCACGCCGCAACAUGCUUUAUUGAUUCAUGCCAUGAUCGACUUAUAUUAGCGCUUGGGCAGGAUCCGCCCCUCCAGAGUCUGACAUACCAACAGUGAGCGCAGGUACCCACUGAGUGCGAGUGCCGAGUGCGAGUGCAAGUGCCAAGUGAUUGAGAGGACUGAGUGUCUGGGAGGAGUGAGUGAUUGAGCAUGCUGAGUGAGAUUAAAUACUCCGAGAGUACGCAUAUGACUUUAUCACCGUGUUGCCUUACAAUUGGCAUGAAUAAUUGACAUGUAGAUGUAGAGAUGUACCAUUCCUCAUAUCAGUCACACUUGGCAUAUUUUAUCCGUGUUGAAUAUAAAUUGUUAAACUUGAAAGCAUGUCUACAUUUAUAUACUAUUUAAAUCUAUUUUUGGACUAUACCUCUAUGAGCUCAUUACUGCUUUCAGCCUAAGGUUAGUCUUGUUACUUAUUGAGUAGAUUUUGUCGAUUGUACUCAUAUUACACUCUGCACUUCGUGUGCAGAUCCGGGUAUUUCGGGGCAUGACGGUUGCUAGCUUUGGAGCUUUUUUUAUUGGAGACUUUUGAGGUAGCUGCCUUAGCGUCUGCAGACCUCGACUCUCCUUCUUUUUAGUUUAUUUGCACUAUUCUAUUUUUCUAGACAGUUGUUUUAGCAGUCAGACUGUAUUGACAUAUAGAUGCUCAUGUACUCAGUGACACCCGGAUUUUGGGGGAUUUUGUAUUGAGUCACGGUAUUUUCUUAUCAGUUAAUUAUGAGAUUUUACUAUUUAAGCUUAUUUUAGUAUGAUUUAAAUUAAAGAUGCGUGGCUAAUUGUGAGUUGUCGGCUUACAAAGGAGCCAUCACGACAUGUGAUAUUUUGGGUCGUGACAAGUUGAUAUCAGAGCCUAGGUUACAUAGGUCUCACUAGUCAUGAGCAGGUUUAGUAGAGUCUUGCGGAUCGGUACGGAGACGUCUGUACUUAUCUUCGAGAGGUUGCCUAACCAUUAGGAAAACUUCACUUUCUUGUACUCUUAUCAUGCAAAUUUGUUGAUUAUGAAAAAUAAACUUUUGUUAUUCUAUUCUCUCACAGACGGUGAGGACACUUGCUACCGGAUCGGGCGGACGGCCACCAGUACCAGCAGCUAGGGCCACGAGAGGCCAGGGCUGCAGUAGAGACCGAGGUGCAGCUCGUACAGCAGCACCUGUAGACCCACCAGUUGCUCCAGCUCAGGAGCAGAUUCCAGACGUGGUUGAGCCGGUGGGGCCAGCUCACGCACAAGUUGUGCCCAUUGUGAUUCCAGGCCUUCAGGAGGCUUUGGCCCAAAUAUUUACUGUUUACACUAGCCUUGAUCAGGCGGUUUCAGUUCCGGCUGCGCCAGCCACUUCUCAGGCCGGGGUAGAUGCUCAGACUCCCGCCAAUCGUACUCCAGAGCAGGUGGUGUGGGGACUUCAGACACCAGGGGUACUACCAGCCCAGCCGAUCGUAGUUGCUCAGGCCCAAGUAGGUCCCACUAUGAGUGACGAGGAGCAUAAGAGACUAGAGAGGUUUGGGAGGCUCAAGCCUUCAUCAUUCAGUGGGGCUGAGUUAGAGGAUGCUCAAAACUUCAUGGAUAGGUGCCAGCGGAUUCUUCGCACGUAGGGUAUUCUGGAGACUAGUGGGGUCUCAUAUACUACUUUUCAGUUGUCGGGGGAAGCCUUCAGAUGGUGGGAGGCCUAUGAGCAGAGCAGCCCAGCCGGUGCUGCACCACUAACAUGGAACGAGUUCUCCGUUCUCUUCUUGGAGAAGUUUGUGCCACCGACCCACAAGGAGGAGUUGCGUAGGCAUUUUGAGCAGCUACGCCAGGAGGGUAUGUCUGCGACCCAGUACGAGAUGAGAUUUUUUGAGUUGGCUCGUCACGCGAUCUGGUUGGUUCCCAUAGAGAGGGAGAGGAUUAUGAGGUUCAUAGAUGGCUUCAACUAUGGACUGUGCUUUGUUAUGACUCAGGAGAUUGCAUCAGGUGCUAGGUUCGACGAGGUGGUUGAUAUUGCUAGGCAACUAGAGCAAGUCCGCAGUCAGGAACUUGAGGAGAGGGAGGCCAAGAGGCCUCAUGGUUUGGGUGGUUUUAGCGGUGUUUCUUCUGAAGGGCGGUGCUACCACAACAUGGGUUAUCCUUAUAAGCCUGCUCAAAUGGCUCGUUCGGUUCAUCGUGGUGCAUCAGCUAGCCAUGGUUCGUAUAGUGCUCGUCCGGGUCAGUCAUCUCUUAGUGCCCUCCCAGCUCAUUGUUCAUCUCGUGCUCCAUCUUUUUAGGGUUCAUCUGUGCCAGGUUCUUCUAGUAGUUAUUCUGGUUCUCGGGGUCCGAUUCAGUCCCCACCACCAUCGGGGAGUUGCUUCAAGUGCGUGGAGUUUGGACAUGUCUGGAGGCAGUGUCCCUGUCGCUUUGGAGGUCCAGUUCAGUAGAGGGGUCAGGAUAUGGCUUCCGCACCAGUUACUUCACCACCCGCCCAGCCAACUCGGGGUGGGGCUCAAGUAGCUAGAGGUCGCCCUAGAGGGAGAGGCCGAUUAGGUGGCGGUCAGGCUCGAUUUUAUGCUAUACCUGCCAGGCCAGAGGCCGUUGUUUCAUACGCAGUGAUCACAUGUAUUGUUUCAGUAUGCCAUCGGGAUGCUUCCACAUUAUUUGUCCCUGGUUCUACUUAUUCAUAUGUAUCGUUGUUGUUAUCCAAAUAGUAUAUAUACUUUCAAAAUAUCAUUUUGCAUAAUUACCUAAUUUACAAGGGUUAUACAAGUAUUUUCUAUAAUUUUCCAUAAUUUUUGAAAGAUUCAAAAUUGAUUUUUUUUGCAUUUAAAUUAUUUAAAUACUUAUUAAUUACCCUUUCAAAUUAUUUUAUAAUGACUUAAUCAUCCAGAUUUGUUAUUUACACCCACAUACAUAUUUUAAAAUAUUUUUUACUUCAUUUCACAUAAUCAUAUUUGCAUUGUUUGAGCUAUUUACAUAAGUUUUGCAAUAAUAGCCUAUAUUCUACAAAUAAUUGCGUUUAUCAUAUUAUUUAUGCCAAAAUAGAAUUUUAUAUUUUUUAUAAAGUUGAGUUAUUAUUUUCAAAUAUUUUUUACAACAUUAAUAUUAUUUUUACCAUUUAUUAGACGUUUUAAUAAUUUAUUGUUUUUGUUAAUUUUAAAGGGUUUCAAGAGCUGGCCCAAAACAUGCCAAUUUUUCAGACCAAAUUUGGCCCAAACCAAUUAGCCCAACUAGACAACCCUUUAGAUGACCCGGUCGCGACCCGUCAAAUAACCCGCCCUUUUCCUCUUUGAUCAUGGUCGUUGAUCCUAAAUGAUCAACGACCCAUAAUAAACCCUUCUCUUCUCCUUAUAUCCCCAUAACCCAAACCCUAACCCCAUUUUCAACUAUCAGCCGCCCUUAAACCACUCAACCCCUUCCUCUUCUGAGAAACCCUAAUAGCCGCCUCCCGAUUUCUCUCCGAUUCCAACCUAAAAAUGGAAUCAAUCCGUGAUUCACUUACCUAUUUUGUAAUGCUUUGCUAUUGUAUGCGUCUUUAUGGUGUUACUUAGUUAUCGUCCUAUUUUUGGCAAGAACUACCUUUCAAGAGCAGGCCUGAUUGACUCCGAUUUUGUGAAGAUUUGGGCGAUAAUUCGUCUAUAUACACUCUACAAUGAAUGAUUAUUGCAUUAUCGGUCCGAUUUUUGGCCGUUGGACCCAACUAGGGUUUGAAAUUUCUGUCAUUUCUUUUACCGGCUCUGUUACUGAUUGCAUGUGAUCUUUUCCUUCCUUAUUUACGUUUAUUUGAUUAUUUUUCAUGUUUGUUCUUCCUAAUCUGUCACUAUAUAAACCUCUCCCCAAUUUCCCCUUGACGGGGAUUCUAAUCGCUAAAAAACUACUACUGUCUUUCUUAGUCUCGCCUUACACUAUUCUAAAACUUAAACUCUUGGCCGGCUGAAAGCCAAGGCCACCGGAACUCGAUUAUUUGACCUUUUUCAGUGCGAGCACUGCCCGGGGUUCGUCUGAAACCCUUGGGAACUCUGACGCACUGAGAUUUGGGGUUCUACUGUUCGCUUUGCUACUAACAUUCGAGAUAUUGCUGAAAUUGUUCUUUGUUUACUUACAUGUCAAUUAGUAACUAGUAAGUACCUAUGACCCUUGCAAUUUUAUUCUUUUUUCGUUUGAGUUCCUGUUCUGCAUAUCUAUGUCUCUGAGAUUUAUUUUUAUGAACCAACAUGCUAUUGCAUGCUCUGAAGCUCUUCUUGAGGUUCUACACCUUCUAGUAAUCGAAUUUGCCUAUUUAUUGCCUUGAUUCUGUUUUCUUAAAGCCUGUUUAUUCUAAUGUGCUGCUUAUUCUGGGUUUAGCUUCUUGCCUUGUUCUGUACUCUUGUAAAGAAUCAAAUCAUGCCCAGAACCUGCUCUAAUUCUUGUUGAAUCAUUCAUGUGCAACUUAGUGUUCUAUAGUUAACUCCUGAUUAUGUUAUUAGCCUAAGCAUACUUUCCUUGCUAAUUAUGGAUUAAUGUGUGUUCCCUGUCUUGUCCUGUACCUUUGUGAUAAAUUCAUGCAUGUGUUUCAGACCUGGUUAAGUAGUUCCUGUCCAACCUGCUGAAUUCCUGAUGUUAUACUGGUUAGCUAAAUCCCGUCUUCAUGCCAUUUAAGCUCUAAUAUAUGUUUGGAACUUAUGUAAUCCUAUGCUUUUCAACACUGUCGGGGACCUUAGGAAACCUCAUAACCAGUCCCUCCUCUCCUAGCCUAUCUUGAUUCUGAAGAUUGACAUGCUUCUCGUAUUAUGAUUAGUGUUCUGCAUGCUAAGAUUUCCCUUUUCUAUUAAGGAGUCACUUGAUCAUGAGUUUUGCUCUAUUAAGUUGUUAUUUUCAUUGGUUUUCUAUGAUGAUCAUUCUAUGUGUUGGUUGUACUUUGUUUGCUUCUUGCAUGAAUCUGCUAGACCUUCAUCUAGGGUUCCCUAGAUUGAUUCUGAAUCAUGCCUCCUUAUAGAAACUCUUUAGAAUGGUUUACUAUCCUAUGUAGUCAAAUAGAUCACUCUCAAACUUCUCACUAGAAUUAUGAGCAUAAGUUUGCCUUAUAUGUGUCUUGAAUGGCUUCCAACUUAGCAUGAUUUUGUUUAUAUACCUCGACCAGAGUUGCUGCUAGUUUCACUUUUAAGAACUGAGUGUUUGAGUUGUCCAAUUAAUUUUAUGAGUUGUUUGUUACUCGUUUGGUCGAGUUUGGCAUCCAUUUAGGUAAGUAAAUUAUUUGUUGGGCCUGGAAGGGGGCCAUAUGUGUUGUUGGACUUGGUCACAAGAUUCAGGGGCACUCUAGUUGUUUUCUUGUGAGCCUGUGGUUUGGGCCUGCUGUUGAAAGCCUGGGAUAUCCCCGGGUUACCUUGUAUUGGGCCUGUGAUUGCCUUAGUGAGCUUGUACUUAUUUAGCCUAUAGUUUGUCAUCUUUAAGUAUGUAUUAUUUCCUUCUGGGCCUGUAAUGAUUUGUAAACUGAAUGAUGGGGAGAUUAAUAAAAAGGGAGCUGGGGUAUUAUAAUGCUUGCAUAAAAGGGUAGAAAACAUGUAUAUAGGGUCUAUGUGUUCUAUUUUUCUAUUUCGUUCAGCGUGCCUUAUAUGUAUUUAGUGUGCUGCACACCAAUAGAAUUAUGCCUAUAGGAAUCACGCACACACUGCACUUAACUUGUCAAACAUGUUGGCUCAAGUAAUUGCUAUGCUUGUUACCAUGUGCACUACUAAACGCUUUAGAUGGUAUGCCUAUAGGAUACAAUAACACAUGUUUGCCAAUGUCCAUCUAGAUACUAUGUCUAUAGGGUUUCAAUUAAUCAAUCAAUCAACUGCUUCUAUUCCUCUUAGCACGUUGCUCCUUUAGAUAUCAUGACUAUAGGAUCUUAAUCAACUAAUCGAUUACUUUGUUACUUCAUCGCAUUUCCACACUUAGACAACACGCCUAUAGGGAUAAAGUAUAUAAAAUCAAUUACAGUUGUUCACUGCUAAAAAUCCUGCCUAUAGGACACUGUCACCUACCUAAUAAACAUGUCUGUAAAAUCAGCAUUGGUAAUUCAGAGUUCUGGGAUUGUUUCACUGCCACAUUACGCAGAUCACUAGAGAUCAUGCCUAUAGAUUUGUAAUACCUUUAAUGUGCCCAUACGAUAGUCCAGAAACUGCAAUAUUAACUGUAUAAUGCUGGGAUCCAGAAUCACAUAGAAAUCAUGCUCAUAGGACUUAACGGCUAUAAUGCGUCUUAAUCCUGAAAACUGCCUAUUGCUGAAUCUACCCGCAUACAUUUGUUGUUUAUGUGUGGAGGCUAACUUAGGCCUCUAAUUGUCUUUAUGUGAAGUCUUGAAUGUUUUGAAUGUCGCCUAGUUUUUAUCAUUUUGAGCAACCUAGGAGAAGUCUAGAACCACCCAAAUAGAGGUCCAAAGCCUCCUGGACCAUAGGUAUGGGACGGGUAGCGCACGCAUAGGGUACGACCUAGAAUUGAAUUAGAGCGCCUUUAGGUAAACAACUUUAACAUAGUAAUCGGGUAAUAUGAGAUGAUAGUCUGUGCCCGCUGAAUAAUAUGAGCAACCCCUACCUCAAAGGAGUUGCAAAGUAUUAUUUAUGUUGCACGGGGUAAUCCUUUAGGCUAAAAAACAUAGGACCCCCCCUCCCAUUUCUUUAUUUGUUAUUUACACUUAGUCAUUUAACAUAGAUCAAUGUAGUUAUAUCUCUAUAGUCAUUAAGAUUUGUGUCGAUUCUCACGUGCCCUAAUAAGACUCUUCGACUUCUAAAUUUUCCUUUAUUUAUUUGAUCACCUAGUCUAAUUACAUAAUUCACAUAGUUUAAAGUUCGGUCGGGACCCACAGUUGUGGACCUAGAAGAGUGCCUAAAACAUUCUCUUUGAGGUAAUUUGAGCCCUUACCCGAUCUUUAGUGGCGUUGACUAGUCAAACAGAGUUAUUUGCAAAUAGGUGCCCUAACGCACCUUAAACCGUUAGGUGGCGAAUCUUCUCUUUUAAUACCUAUUUAAAAGAGUUGCCACAUGUCGAAGCCCCCUUUCGCGAGAAAACGGGACGCGACGAUCAUCCUAUUUUACUCGUUAUUUGGAUAUGCCUCGUGAGUCCUUAGUUUCAUCUAUUUCCGUAUUUACGCCGGUGGGCGAUACUAUUAUUGUGGACCAUAUGUAUUGGUCGUGUGUGGUGACCAUUAGAUAGUUGGAGACUAGAGUUGAUCUUUUAUUACUUAGUUGGGUUGAUUUUGACGUGAUUAUGGGUAUGGAUUGGUUGUCCCCACGUCGUGCUAUUCUGGAUUGUCAUGCUAAGAUCGUGACGUUGGCGAUGCUGGGGUUACCGAGGAUCGAGUGGAGAGGUUCUCUGGAUUAUGUUCUCAGCAGGGUGAUUUCAUAUCUGAAGGCCCAAUGGAUGGUUGGGAAGGGGUAUUUGUCAUAUUUGGCCUUUGUGAGGGAUGUUCCUGCCGAUACUCCUACUAUUGAUUCUGUUCCGGUAGUGUGUGUCUUUCUGGAUGUGUUUCUUGCAGACCGGUCGGGCAUGCCACCCGACAAGGAUAUUGAUUUUGCUAUUGACUUGGUGUCGGCCACUCAACCCAUUUCUAUUCCUCCAUAUCGUAUGGCACCAACAGAGUUGAAGGAAUUGAAAGAGCAGCUUCAGGAGCUUCUUGACAAGAGGUUCAUUAGGGCUAGUGUGUCGCCUUGGGGUGCACUGGUUCUAUUUGUAAAGAAGAAGGAUGGUACUAUGCGGAUGUGCAUCGACUAUAGGUAGUUGAACAAAGUUACAAUUAAGAACAAGUAUCCUUUGCCACGCAUUGAUGAUUUAUUUGACCAGCUUUAGGGAGAGAGAGUGUUAUCUAAGAUUGAUUUGAGGUCUGGGUAUCAUCAGUUGAAGAUUCGGGACUCGGAUAUUCUAAAGACUGCAUUCAGGACCCGCUAUGGUCACUAUGAGUUCCUUAUGAUGUCUUUUGGGCUGACCAACACCCCAGCAACAUUCAUGCAUCUGAUGAACAGUGUAUUCCUGCCAUAUCUUGAUUCAUUUUGUCAUAGUAUUUAUUGAUGAUAUCCUGGUGUACUCAUCUAGCUAGGAGAAGUAUGCACAACAUUUGAGGAUUAUACUACAGAGGUUGAAGGAGGAGAAGCUUUAUGUCAAGUUCUCCAAGUGUGAGUUUUGGCUCAGUUCGGUGGCGCUCUUGGGGCACGUGGUGUCCAGUGAGGGGAUUAAGGUGGAUCCAAGGAAGAUAGAGGCGGUUCAGAGCUGGCCCAGACCAUCUACAACUACUGAGAUUCGGAGUUUUCUCGGCUUGGCCGAAUAUUACCGUUGCUUCAUGGAGGGUUUCUCGUCCAUUACAGUGCCUUUGACCGGGUUGACCCAGAAGGGUGCUCCAUGCAGGUGGUCGGACGAGUGUGAGGAGAUAUUUCAGAAGCUCAAGACUGCCUUGACCACAACUCCAGUUCUAGUUUUGCCUUCAGCAUUGUUGACGACCAAUUUAAACCCCCCCUUUUAAAAUUAAUUUACUCAUACUUAAUAAAUUACAAUAAAUAUUUUGAAAGUAUCUUCUAUUAGUAAAUACAUAUUUCUACAAAUUAAUUAAGUAUUAGCUUUAAAAUUAACCACUUAGUGUUAAGUAUUACAUAAUUACAAAUAUGCUUACUAUUUUAAGAUUAUUAAAAUAGCUUUUAUAUACAUCACAUAGUCCUUACGAUUAAUUUAAUGAAUUACUCCUUAAUUUCUAGUUAAUUAGACUACUAUGUUAAUAAUUUAAUGCUAAACAUGAAGUAUUUAUAAGCAAUUAAUCAAAAUAGUUAGUAAUGUACAUAACAAUUCUAAUUUUACUAUAUUUUAUUGAAAAUUAUUAAGCUUGUUUAAUUUAAUUAUAAAGAGGAUAAAAAGAGGCUAAAGGCUAUAAUUGCAAUUCUCAAUUAAAUACAAAUUGGCCAUUCUUUAAAUCAAAACUAGCCAAAGACCCAAGCCCAAUCCGGAAAUACCCAAUCCAAGUCCAUCCCUCUCUUUCCACUAUGGCAAUCCAUGCCAUCAUAUUUGAACCAAUCACAGCGUGCCAUGUCAUCGCUCUCAAACACAUACAAGAAACACACUACAUCCGGACCGUUGAUCCAAAUGAUCAACGGUUCACAAUUAAACUAAUUUUUCCAUCAGUGAUUUAUCUUUGUCAUUGGAUUAAAAGAGAUCCAACGGUCGCCUUUUUUUCAAUAAAUAUUUUUAUCUCCGAAAUAUCAGAACCUUGAUCACAAUGAUCCAACGGCUCCCGUUCCAUCUCCCGUUUUAAACUUGGAGACGACCUCUAACCCUAAUCAUUCUCUCCUAAGACCAGCCGCCCCCCUUUCCCAAAACUCUCUCUUUUCUCUCAUCCCUUUAAACCCCAUCAGUCAUGGAACCUUGCCCAAAUUACUGCAAGGUCAUAAAACCCUUCACCAAAUCGUCCUUUCUUGCUUCCUCAUCCGAUAAUCCUUCUGACCUUUCCCUUUAGCUCUUCAAAUCUGAAGCACCUGAUUUGAAGCACUUGCAGAAUCAUUCGCUUUGUCCCUAGGUUGUGAGGCCAGUGAUUCACUUUCCAUUUUCAUUGAUUAGAUUCAAAACCCCUCAAAUCUGAAACCCUAGCUUGAAGAUGUAACUCUAAAUCGCUUAAAUCUUCUCUCGCUCAGUCAAAUCGGAGCAUGCGUGGAGUUUUUAAGAGGAUUCAUUAUGAGAAUUCUUUACCCAGAGGUCAAACGCAGUGACCUCUGGGUUUUGAGUCUUGACCGAUGGUCUUCUGCCUUCAAAAAUCGAUCUCUCUCCCCUCAGGUAAAAAUUCUCAUUGUUUUCCUCUCCACUCUUCUCUGAUUUCACUUAGUUUGCUCAUACUAUCAGCUCAUCGUCAUAUUUCACUAUCUAAUUUGAAUUUUAUUGAACACUAGAGGCAUUGAAUUCCACUUUAAAAGGAGCCUUCAAUGCUCUCACGUAACAGACGAAAAAAAAGACCAGACUCAACACGAACACAAAAGGCAACAUUAUGAUUUCACAAAAGUUUAGUUUCUCUUACUGAUUUUUGGUUCCUCUCUUUGAUUCUGAGUGCUUUCAUUGCUCAAGCUUGAAGCUUUGGGUCCUAGGCAAUCAGAAAGAAUCUCUGUUCCGUCUUCUGCCCUAGAGAAGGUCAGUACAUCUCUAACUUUUCUCUUUUGAUUGUUUUAUUCAAGUAUCACGAACAUGCUGUUACCUUUUAUUAAUUAUGUUUGUUUAUGAUGUUUGUCAUUAGUGUAUAUAUGUUAUUUUCACUUCAUGAUAAUGUGUUGUUAACUUGUGGUCAUUUGUCAUACUUUUGAGUAUCUCUAAUUGGUAUUGAUUAAGUUGUUAUGGGACCUUAAUGACUUUUAUUCCGGUUUCAAUUAGUCUGUAUGAUUAUGUUUCCUUAAUAUGCCUUAAUGACUUCUCAUGUUUGCCCAAGACUUCAGAUUUUCUUUAAUGAUUAUGUUGUGAUCUAUUUCUCUACCACACUAUUCCCUACAUUUUGUUGUUUAGUAGUCGAUAUUGUUGAUUGAUAAUUCUAACUAGAACAAACCUGAAAGAUCACAGUUUAAUCCUUCACCAUUUAGCUGAAGCAUAUGAAGCUUAAAUGUUUAAAUGAUUUCCUUCUUUAUAUAAGUGUUUGCUGACUCUAAGAGUAGCUUAUGAGUCAUUGCUAUGAAAGUUUUAUGUCUGUAUCUAACUGUUAGUUGCAUCUCUAGGUCUCUAUAUAUGAAACAGUCUCAUUAAGGUGAUCUUUAUGAAUAUCAGUAACUCUUCUGCAUAUAUCCUAUUAUGAUCAAGUUAUCCUUUCAUAAAAAUAGGUUAUAGUCAUGUCUGUUAAACUUGAAUGAUAAUUGUUUUCAAGCUGAGCAUAACUAUCUCGUGUUUAGAUGUAAAUCUUAGUCUGUAUAGCUAAGUUAAACCUAUUUGGUGCAAUACUUUCCUUAUCUCUAAUCCCCUUUAUGAGAUUGCGGACUUGGUCUCAUAAUAGGUGAAACUCACCAUGUCUGUGUAAGAUCAUAACCUCAUUUUAAGUAUCUAUGUAUACCUGAUUAAAAUGUUGCAUGUAGUUUGUCUUCAUGAUCUCAUGUUCUUGUACUUUGUUUUGAAAUUUCACUCAGUCCUCUCUUUCCCUGCUAAUAUGAACUGAACCUGAUCUGUAAAUCCUAAGAGAACUUCUUAUUGCUACUGUUUGGACAUGAUAGAUUACCCAUUUCAAUAUAAGAUUAGUAUUCUUAUGAAGAUGUGGUUCUACCAUAAAUUACAAAUGAAGUAUGAUUGGUAAUCUGUGAUCCUGUCAAACACCUCUAGGAAUUCCAUGUGUGAGUUUGUGAACAUAUAGUCAUGCUAAGAGUUCUGAUUAUGUUUUGGUAUCUUUAAUAACACCCGUAGAGGCUGUUAACUAUGACUGUUUGUCUGAACCUUUAUUGAUGCUUUAUAGAGUUCCAAGUAGUAUUACAUGUGCUGGUGGCAAGACCUGGCUGUGGAUAGUCUGCUAGGACAAAAGCAUCUGUGUUUUCUAGGUUGCUAUGUAUUUGAAUGAUAUUUAUCUAUCCUCAAGAUGGGAUCUCAAGUGUUUGUCUCUUUAGCAGUAAUAUUAUAGUGUUCCUACCUCUAUAUGUGUUUGGAAUCUGGCCUUCAGACUUGUUUAAUAUGUGUUUUAUCCAUUUAGUAUUGGAAACGUAGUCAUAAAAUAAAACCGUUCCUAUGUCCUUAUGUUAUUCUGUCAAGGGAGAAGUAUACUUCUGUGGUAGGUUAUAUUAUGGUAGUUGGUUUACAUUGAAAGAGCCUCAUUGUCACUUAAACCUAUGGAUAAAAAUGAGUCGUUAGUGGUUAGGGGUAUUUAGGAUUAGAGUUUAACUCUAGGUUGGGUUGCUCCCCCCGGCACAAGCAUUGCCCCGGGCCUUGAGAACCUUGAGAACCUUGAAGUGUCAGGGGAUUCAAAGGGAGCAUCGACCUUGAGUGGAACCCUCUUCUUAGCCCUUAAUUCAUUGACACUUGUUAUUCUCUUUGGGUUUAGUGUUUAAUGACAACGAAAGGUUUUCAAUGUAAAUUAUCUACCAUAUACAACUGUCACAUUAGUAUAGGUUCUCAUAGUAUUUGAGUAUUGAUAGCUCGUUAUAUAUUUUGCUCCAAUCAUUUACUUAUGUGUUCCAUGCAUGGUUGACCAUACAAAAUAUGUAUCUAAUGACCUUCUCUUUCUUUUUUUGAAAUUCGAAGUCAGUUGUCGCAGUCCCUAUUACUGCUGGGCCUGCCUCUUUGAGGCCCAAAUACUAGAGUCCAAUCCUCUCAUUUAACUCCUUUAUUACUCAUUGCUUCAUUGCCAUAGUUUUACUGCCUUGUCGCAUUUUGCUGCGUUCUUGUAGUUAUUUUAUUUCACAUGUAUACAACAAUUAUAAAUUGGAUUGACUGCUUUACUUUAUAUCUUAAUUCAUAAAAAACUUAGGCAAGCCUUAAAUAACACAGGACUAAAAGAAGUAUUAGUUAGUAACUAAUCUCCCGUUCGCUAAUUAUAAGUUGUUUAUAUCAUUAAAUUACCAUUUUUUCACUAACUAUUUUUUUCUUAUAGGAUUUUGAAGCCCAAAAGCUUAGAAAGAGACGGCAGAUCCACUUUCAGAAAAGGGAAAAUUAGAUUUGAAACACAAGCUUUAUCUUCAAAAGGGAAAUCAAAUCAUUUAAAAAAAAGGUGUUGUCGCCCAAACGAUUUUCAAAUGGUUUUUCUUCAAGUCUAAAAUCAAGGUAUAUCUUAGGCUUACUCCCAUAGCACCUUCAUCUCAUUAGAACAAUAUACACCUCCAUGCUUUAGGAACAAGUGUUUAAAUUUAAUUCUCCUUUUCACAUACUUUCUUAGAUACAAACAUCCUAUAUAUCUUUCAAAAGCUCUUUUCAAGUAUAUAUGCACUAACAUUAUUCUCCUACAUAAAUUCAUACCAUUUCAAAUUACACUCUCCCUUUGUAAGAAUGAUGUUGUAAUAUACGGUAAGCCAUAUCUUUAGAACACUAGUUAAGGCAUAUUAUAAAUAAUAGAUUCCAAACCUAGUCUAAGUCCUAUGGAGCUACCUCAGGUAGAUUUUAAGGGGUGCCUAACACCUUUCCCUUAGAAGAACAAGAACCCUUACCCAUAAUCUUACCGGUUAGCAGACUAAUAAAGAAUAUGACUUAAUAAUUAAAUAGGUACUCUAGUAUAUCUUUAAAUAUUAGGUGGCAACUCUUUUUCAUCAACAAUAGAGAAAAUACAAGUCGAAUCUUGUUUUGACUAGUGCAAAAUAGGGUGCAACAACAUGGUGAAUCUGCUAGGGAGUUCACACUUAGGUUCUGACCUUAGCAGACUUAGACUAAAUUUGGCAUUUAGAUUUAUUUGUGCAUUGCCUUAAUUGUAGAUAAAAUUGCAAUUACAUGCUUACCUGCUUUGCUUGGUCUUUAUACUUAUUCCUAUACUUAUUGCUGCUACACUCUUAUCUUUUACUGCUUUAUAUAUAAUGUCAUCACAUGUCUUCCUAUCGAGUCUUGGUUGUACACUAUCACACACAAUGGCACGCGAGGGUUGUCUUUUACGCCCAUCUGAACCUUCUUUUCAAAACUCUCUAGUUUCAGAGAAUGGCUUUGUCGGGUCAACUGACAUAACUUCUCGCAGCCUUCAGUCCAAUUCAAAAGUAGGAAACACUCUACUCUAGCAAGCAUAGGUCAUACUGCAUAAACCUUAGGUGAGUCGGUCCUUGGCAUCGACACACGAUUAGGAAAGCCACCGUAAUGUCAACGGGUCAUGCACCUAACAACAUAACUUCUGUGGAAAGACAAACAAAACUGAAAAGACACUUAAAGAUCCGAAGCAAACACUUACCAAACACCUUUCUUUUACCCACCUCAGAAAAUGAAAAUCAACCAAAACAUCCCUAAGAUUAACAUGGUAAUGGGAGCGCCACAAAAGUUUGAAGAAAUGGCGGAAGAACAUUUACCGGGAACACGGAGAUGAGAUUCGGACGCACCUAGGGGCACUAACCGCUUUGCUAAAUAUCCGAGAAGACAGGGUGCUCACUUGCCUAUUGAUAGAGUUUUGGGAUCCGGCUAAGGUAGUAUUCAAGUUUGACGGCUGUGAAUUAGUACCGACAUUGGAGGAAGUCACCAGUUUCAUGGAGCUGCCAUUCAACGGAAGGAAGCCAAUACUACUAGUUACUAUGCCCAGUUACUGGUUUUUGGAUGCUUUAGGCCUAGCCAACAGUCAGAGUCUGAGAAAUAUCGAGGACGGAUUGGUGAGCCUCGGCCAGCUGUUCGACAGGUUUGGGCACCGUGAAAGUUAUGAGUGGUAUUCAGGAGAGUUUUAGUGUGACCAAGCAACGUGGGAGAGUCUCGGGCCUAUCACCUUCUCAAUGGCACUAUUUGGAUUACUGGUCUUCCCGCAGAGAAGAUAAACUCAGCUCGUUUGCGAUAGCUCUCAUGCGAACGCGAAGAACUCUAGCUCGACCUCCGCGAAUGCAACACCAUUUAUGUGAUCGGGUAGAACAAAAAUUCCACCAGUCCACUUAACCCUUCAUGAUCGCGGCCCUCUUUACACGAUCGUGGAAGAGGAAACCAGAUGCCUAGAAACCAGCAAUUCCACAAAGUCCAAUAUUAGUUCGAACUCAAUCUGAGACACACCCAAGGCCAUCGGGACCCCAUCCAAUAAUACCAACAAGUCCCAAAACAUAACACGAACUUAGUCGAAGACUCCAAUCACGCCAAACAACAUCAAAACUAUGAAUCGAUGAUCGAAACCUUUCUUUAAACAUCCAAACAUUCAUACUUUGACGAACGCGUCCGAUUCAUUCUUAAACAUUCUGGAAUGACGCCAAACUUUACGCACAAGUCACAAAUCACGAUACAAACCUAUUCCAAAGCUCAGAAACUCAAACGAGCAUAGAUAACACCAAAGUCCACUUCAAAUCAAACUUAAGAAAUUCUAAAACCUUCAAAAUGUUAACUUUCCAUAUUAAGCGUCGAAAUGCUUCCGGACCACCAGAUGCUCAACCCGAACAUACGCCCAAGUCCGAAAUCAUCAUACGAACCUAUUGGGAACCUUCAAAUUCCGAUUCUGAGAUCGUUUACUUAAAAUUCAAACCUUAGUCUAUUCUUCCAACCUAAAGUUCCGAAAUUGGAAUUGUCCUUCCGAAUCAACUCCGAACAUCCCAAAAUCUAAUUCCGACCACACGUACAAGUCGUAAUACAUGAAGUGAAGAUACUCAAGGCCUCAAACCGCCGAAUGAUGCGCUAGAGCUCAAAACGACCGGUCGGGUCAUUACAACAACAUCUACAUCACUCGGAAUCACUCCUACAAGGCGUAAAACACACAAUAAGUGCAAAACACUCCCAAUUAAAGCUCAAAACAAGUAAAGUGCAACGAAUUAUAGUGCAACAAGCGACUAAAAUACGGGAUUAUAGCCUAUCAUCAACACCACACACUUAAAUUGUUGCUCGUCCUUGAGCAAUCAAACUACACUUCACAUAGACACGACCUUUUUCAACAACUCUCAUAACUCAUCGCACCAAGAAAUUUAAAACAGACUAAGUACAAUACCGUACCAUCCUAGCCUCAAAAUUUGACUCAAAAGCACCACUUAUUAUUUAUAACCCGCUCACUUACUCUAACAUAGAGGUCAAGCAUUACCUUUCCUUCGUAAAUCAAGUGCCCUCACACUACAAUAGAGAGUAGUUCCACACACAAUAAAAGUUUAAGAACAAUUAGGAACUCAAGAUUUAAAGAAUUCACUCACUCUCAGAAACAAAAUUCAUAUGCCACAAAAGACGUACCAUANNNNNNNNNNNNNNNNNNNNNNNNNGGGUUAACUACGAUACAUAACAAUUAGGUGGGUAGAAGUAUAUAACUGACUCAACAAACAAAAUGCCUAUAUCACUUCCAAGACUGAAUACAACUACUAUUUCACUUUGUAAACACACAGAGAAAGUUCUAGACAUCAAAUACAAUGCACAGAAUAACACAAAACCUCACACACACAUGGCACAUAACUCACUAAAAAUUGUAUUAUCAAGACACGCUAGUCAAAGCAGUUAAGCAAAGUUAAGAUCAUACAAUUUAAGGUACUUAUGAAAGAGUCAAAAAUUGAGCCUAGGUGUCACAACUAAAGCACUCACUAUUCUCAAGGUAUAAUAGAGUCAAGAGAUAUUGCCUUCCAUUAAAAUCAUAGCACAAGAUUUCCUACUCCUAACAAAAAUAAAACUAACUACACCCGGUUCAAACAAAAUCCUUGGAAAAGAACCGCGACACAAAGAAAAACCAAGGGGGACUUGUUACACUACCUAACAAAAGAAAAUCUUUCUGUCUUUUUCUUUUGACUUUAAUCCCUCAAGAAACCCGUCGAAUGAUAUCCAUCGUAGGGAAAAAUAAAAAAAUUUAAAAAAAAUUCAAUUUUUAUGUUUUUUCCAAUUAUUUUCUAUCUCUAACUACUACAACUAAAAAAAGAAAACUAAUAUACAUAUAUAAAACUAUCACCCACCCCACACUUUAAGUUGUGGCAUGUCCCCAUGACACACAAUUAAAAAGUAUAAGGUAAAGAAAACUUCCCUAAACAUCUAGUUGGGGUAUGAAUCGAAGUCGGGCUCCAUUCCUCGUGCUCGAACCAAUGCACACAUCUAUGCCGAUAGCUUCUUCUCAGCCUUUUUGGGGUACACCCCACACUUAUCUUUCUUACUCAGUGCAACCUUCUCUUUUGAGCCUUUCACCUUCCAUUCAACACUUCCAGCUGGUCUUUCUUUGUGCACCACCUUUUUUACCUCCAUCUUAAACGUCACAGUCUCCUCACCCACUCUAAGCAUGAGUUUUCUCUCGUGUAUAUCCAAUAUAGCUCUACCCGUUUCUAAGAAUAGUCUUCCUAGGAUGAGGGGGACCUCCUUGUUCUCCUCCAUAUUCACCACUAUAAAAUCCACAGGAAAUACGAACAUAUCCACCCGAACUAACACAUCUUCCACUAUCCCCCCGGGUGUUAUAGUCGUUUGGUCUGCCAGCUGCAAAGAUAUUGGCACCGACCUUAUCUCUCCAAUCUUUUUCUCCAGUUUCCUGUAAAUAGAUAGAGGCAUUAAGUUAAUUGAGGCACCCAAAUCACAUAAAGACUUAUCAAACUUUAUAGUUCCUAAUGAGCAAGGUAUAGUAAAACUCUUUGGAUCUCCACACUUUUGUGGGAGUUUGUUUUGCAAUAUUGUGCUGUAAUGCUCUGUGAGCUUCACCACCGAGGUCUCCUCUAUUUUCCUCUUCUUCGUAAGGAACUCCUUCAAGAAUUUGGUAUAAAAAGGCAUUUGUGAGAGCACUUCUGUGAAUGGCAAAUUUACAUGAACCUGUUUCAGCACAUCCAGAAAUCUCCCAAACUGCAUGUUUAGCUUUUCUCUACUUUGCUUUUGAGGGAAGGGUAAAAUAGGCAUAUACUGGCUCUCCUCAAAUUCCUCCCUUCUUGAUUUUUCUUCCUUUUUCUUCUUCUCGGUUUUAAUAGGGCCUUUCUUAUUUUAAUCAACGUCAUUCUUCAGCUGCUCCCCACUUUCUCUUUCAAGUAUCACAUCAUUUUGGAUCGGAGUGGGAUCUUUCAACACUUGCCCACUUCUCAAAGUUACAACAUUCACUGUUUCUUUGGGAUUCUUUUCUGUAUCAGCGAGGAGAAUGCCUGGGACCCUCUCAGAUAAGAUUGUUGUAAUAUGUCCCACUUGCUUCUCUAAAUUUUGAGUUGCUGCCCCUUUUGUUUCAAAUCUUUCAUCAGUUUUCACAAUGAAGGCCUUCAUAAGAUCUUCUAAACCAGGCUGAUUGGGUUGUUGAUGCUGAAACUGCUGCCUCUACUGAUUUAUAAGACCAGGAGCUCCUUGUCCCUAGAAUUUGGGGUUGUUUUGUUGACACGCAUUUGCAGUACCCCCAGCUGAACUCCAUGAAAAUCUGGGGUGCUUCUGACCCAUUGCAUUAAAGUUGUAAUUUCCUACAUCAUUCACUUCCUCAGUUGAGGCUUGACACUCAUGAGUAGGGUGUCCUCUUCCACAUAUAUCACAAGCUGCGUGAGGCUCAUUUUGUAUCGAGGCUAAGGUUAGCUUCCAUAUUUCUUUANNNNNNNNNNNNNNNNNNNNNNNNNNNNNNNNNNNNNNNNNNNNNNNNNNNNNNNNNNNNNNNNNNNNCCACUAAUUUGCAUCUUCAGAUAACUCCUCAAGGAUUGUGACUAUCUCCUCUGGAGUCUUCUUCAUCAACGGGCCUCCAGCUGCAUUGCUCAAUGUUCUACGCGAGGCCCGUGUCAAUCCAUCCCAAAAGUCCUAGAGUUGCAUCCAGAGUUCAAUUCCACUAUGUUGACACUUUCGAACAAUUUCCGUAAACCUCUCCCAUGUGUCAAAAAUAAUUUCAGUAUCUUUCUUGCAGAAGUUAUGGAUUUCUCUUCUAAACUUGUCCGUCUUAGCUGGGGAGAAAUAUUUAUCAAGGAAUUUUCUGGUCAUCUCCUCCCAAGUUCUAAUUGAUCCUGUGGGCAAGCUUCUAAGCCACUGUUUUGCAUCAUCUUUAAGAGAAAAGGGGAAUGCCCUUAAAUACACUGCAUCAUGUGACACAUCAUUAUAUUGAAAGGUGUUCAUAAUCUCCUUGAAGUCCAUUAGAUGUGUGUUUGGAUCUUCGUUUGCCUUCCCUAUAAAGACACAACAAUUCUGAAGAGUUUGAAGCAACCCUUGCUUCAACUCGAAAGUAUUUGCUGCAAUUUGAGGUGGUCUAACACUUGAUAAACCUUGAUUGUAGACCGAUCUAGCAUAAUCUCCAAGUGGUCUCCCAGGCCUGAGAGCUAUAUUUAUGAACUGAUCUGCAGCCAAGGGUUAAUUUUGAGCAAUUCUUCGACCCCUAUCUUCUUCUUCGAUAAUAUUUGCAUCUCUAAUAGUUGCUUCCUCAUCAUCUCGUGCAGCUUGUUCUCGUCGUUGGGCUGCUUCUCUCGCAGCCAAAUCUACAUUAUCUUCACCAUUUCCAGCAAUUAGUUCCUUUGUUGAGGACUGCCCAACCUUUUCUGAUGUCUCGGUGAGAUUUCUUUCCUUCCUCACCUGUCGCAGUUAUUUUUCAAUUUCUGGCUCGUAUGGUAGCACUUCCUUCGCAGAAGUUCGAGUCAUGCACCAAUCUUAACCUGUAACCUGCGCACAGUCAAAGAACACCAACCGUAAAAAGAGAAAAAUAAAAUUAAAAAAAUCUUGAAUUAGCACUACAAACUAUUUCAAACACUAUUGAUUUCCAAUCCCCAGCAACGGCGCCAAAAUUUGACGAGCGCAAAACACAUACUUAAAUUCUGCUCUCUAAUCAAAUAUAAUAUAGUAUAAUAUCGUAUCCACGGGGAUUGGAUUUAAACAGUAUUCUCGUAGUUUCUAGCUUGAUUGCUAUCCAAGAAGAUCAACACUUGAGAUUUAUAUGAUUUCUAACUAAAAUUAACUAAGAGUCUAAAGUUAUUGACUAAAGACAAUCGAAACAAAGAUAAACAAGGAAGUUAUCAGUGGGAGAAAAUAGGGGUUGAUAGGAUAGGUGCAAGAUAAUUGGUUGGGAUCUAACUCUAGAUAAUUCACUUCUAAUGUUCAAGUGAGUCUCUCGAAUUCACUCAAUUAUCAGUUCAAACGUUCAACAAAAAACUCCUCUCUCGAUUAAGUUUCAACCUCACGAGAUUAACCAAUUUAAGCAUGUAAUGAUAUGCAAGAAUGCGUAGUGGAUUGGUCUUUAGGAAAUCCUCUUUCGAUUACUCUCCUAACAAGGUUUAAUCAAUAAUUCAACUGACCUCUUUCGAUAACUAAGAAGAAUUAAUGACCUCAACAAACAAUAUAAUGCUAAGAUAUCACAAGUUAUGCCUCUCUCGAUUACAUGAACAAGUGAAUAUAGAUGCAACAGUUAAAUCAUCCAAAAAUACUUCAAUACAUAAAACUAGAGUUAUAAUCCACAAACAAUCAUCAAAACACCAAAUCCAUCAAACCUUAAAGGGAACUACUCCAUUGAUAUGGAGAAAUUUAUCACAAAUAAAGUUAAUUAGAGGAAAACAUAUAUUCAAUCCAAACUUGGGUCUUUCGUGAGGAAGGAAUGAUGAAAUCCUUGUGCUCGUGUUCUUCCAACUCCUCCUUAGCCUCCUUAGGUCGCAUAUGUGUCAAAAGUCUCGAAAAUAACGUUUUCCAUGUAUUUAUACCAAGUAGGGUUGAGCCCAGACGAAAUCACCUUUUCCUAGCCGAAAUAGGAUAUUUACUUUGUAAAGGCGCGCCGCAUGGGGCGACGCUCCAUCUGACAGACAGCAGGAAUUUGUACAAGCGCGGCGCCCCACGCGCCGCGAUAGUGGGGAUUUCUCAGAGUACGGAUCAAACUUUGAUUUUUGAUGUCCAGACUUGGUCCUCGACCCCCGAACAUGAUCCCGGCUUAAUCCUUUGGGCUUUUAAUCAGACUUCAAAGCUUCAAAUAGCUCGAAUUAGCUUCACAACAUCUACAUCACUCGGAAUCGCUCCUACAAGGCGUAAAAUCCACAAUAAGUGCAAAACACUCCCAAUCAAAGCUCAAAACAAGUAAAGUGCAGUGAAUUAGAGUGCAAUAAGCGACUAAAAUACGGGAUUAUAUCUAACCAUCAACUAGCCUAGUUAAAGGGUUUGAACUAGAGAUAGAGAAAACUCGACUUGAGCUCAUAUCAACUAUUUAGGUUGAUACCCACUUGGGAUUGAGAAAGCCAAAUUGAAAAAAAUCACUCUUUGACCGAGAGGUAUUGUCACGACCAAAAAUCCAUUAAGAGUCGUGAUGGCGUCGGACACAACUGUCAGGCAAGCCAAAAAUAACUACUUAAUUUGGUUCUCAUUUUAAUAUUUCUGAAAUCAUAUUUUCUUCAAUUAAAUAGUAAAAGAUGGAAUUUAUAGAAUAAAUAAUUAUAUAUUUAACAAUUUCAAUACAGGACAACCCAUACUUACCGCAAAACCCGGUGUCACAAGUGCAUGAGUAUUAAAUAGGAAGUAAAAUAAAAUACAACAUCUGUCUGAAAUACAAAUUGGACAGUAAUAAUAUAAAUACUCUAAAGGAGACUCUGUUGGCUGCGGAUCGUGGUAUAGAGUGCAGCGCUCCUAAGUCCCCGCAAUAACCGUGUCUCUGCGCCCACAAGGCCACUAGACAGAUAUGUACUUGUACAAAAAUGUGCAGUAAGUGUAGCAUGAGUACGUAAAUCAACGCGUACCCAGUAAGUAUCCUGCCUAACCUCGAAGAAGUAGUGACGAGGGGUCAACUUUGACACUUACUAUGGGCUAUAAAUAAAAUAUCAAUAAUAUAAUUAAGCAUGGAUUACAUAGAAUGGUUGUAAGCUCAAUAUUCAUGAAAUAAGUAAACAAUUCUUUUGUUAAUAAGAAAUUUUCAAAUUUAUUUUCGUCAUUUAACAUUUUUGUAUAUCGGGCCAAUGAAAGCAAUAUCAAUUAUUAUCAAUUCCAGAGAUAUAUCAUGUGCAAAUUAUGUCGAAGUCGUACGGCCCGAUCUAACAUAAAUAUUUAAAUUGUGCACUGCCAAGGGUCGAACGACGCGAACUAUAGAUACAUCUAUCUGCUACCGAGGUGUUCGGCCCGCUCCACAAAAGAGAAAAUACAUUAAACAACCAAUUCAAGAUUUAUUAAGGGGCAAAUAUUCCAAGAAUUUCAAAUUCGCAUUUAACGGUCAAGUAAAUGAAGUUUAACCUUUUAACAAUCCCUUUAUUGAGUUUCUAAAUGUUUUAAACAAUUAAAUUAACAAGUAGGGCCCAGACAUCGCAAGUACAACAUGAUAUGGGUCCUAAACUACCCGGACAUAAGCAUAAUAGUAGCUACGCAUGGACUCUCGUCACCUCGUGCAUAUGUAGCCCCCACAAAUAGAAACACAGAAUGAUUUGAUUCAUCUAUGGGGUUAACUCCCUCUUACAAGAUUAGAAAGGAGACUUACCUCGCUCCGAAAUUCCAUAACCGGCUCCCAAGCCCGUCCAACAACUAAAACCGAUGCCCACCACUCCAAAACUAGUCAAUAAAUGUGCAAAUCCAUAAAUAUAUACUCUAAUACUCAUUAUAAAUUAAUUUACAAUAAUUUCGAAAAGUCGAUAAAAAUCACCCUCGGGCCCACGUGCCCGGAUUCCGAAAAUCUUCAAAGACAAACACUACCCAUAGCACUACGAACUCAAAUAUAUAAUUUAUUCCCAAUUCCAUGUCUAAUUUCGUGGUCAAAAUCCAAAAAUACCAAAUUUCUAGGUUUUUCUUCAAAAUCCCAAAUUUUCUACAAAUAUUGCAUGUUUACAUCCAUUUAUAAAUCAAGUAUUUAACUUGCAAUAGGUGCGAAUCACUUACCUUGUCAUAGAUGAUGAAAAUCUCCCCUUGAAGCUCUCCAAAAUUGCCCCAACCAAGUGAAACAUGGGAGAAAAAUGAGCCAAGUCUCGUUCUUAAAUCAAUCUGCCCAGCUGACCUUCCACACCUGCGGUACAUCAGCCGCAUCUGCGGCCUAGCAGGUGUGGCCAAAACCUCGCACCUGCGCAUAUCCUCUGCCCAGCACAGCUCCGCACCUGCGAUGCCAAACGCGCCCCUGCGGUCUCGCACAUGCGGAGACUUUCCGCUUCUGCGACUCCAGCUGCCAGCUCACAUUUCGCUUAUGCGGAGCUUUCCUCGCAUCUGCGGGCUCGCAUAUGCGGAAACAUCCUUGCAUCUGCGGCUAUCCCAGCUCCGUCCAAAUGUCGCUUUUGCAACCUCAUCGCCGCACCUACGGGCUCGCACCUGCGGCCCUUUUCACACAGGUGCGAUUCCACCAGAUAUCAGCUGCCUCAACAUUUCUUCUAAGUCUAAACUCGAUCCGUUAACCAUUCGGAAUCCACAUGAGGCCCUCAGGACCUCAACCAAAUAUACCAACACGUCCCAAAUCACAUUACGAACUAAGUCGCGCCUUCGGAUCACAUCAAACAACGCUAAAACCAUGAAUAGCACUCCAAUUCAAGCUUAAUGAACUUUAGAACUUCAAACUUCUACCUUCGAUGCCGAAACCUAUCAAAUCACGUCCGAUUGACCUCAAAUUUUGCACACAAAUCAUAUUUGACAUUACAGACCUACUCCAACUUCCGAAAUCAGAAUCCGACCCCGAUACCAAAAAGUCCACUCCCGGUCAAACUUCUCAAAAAUCUUCAAAUUCCAACUUUUGCCAAAUGACCUCAAAAUGGCCUACAGACCUCCAAAUCUAUAUCCUGACGCGUUCCUAAUUCUAGAAUCACCAUACGGAACUAUUCCCAGGCUCGGAAUUUCAAACAGAAGUCGAUAACAUUGAAAUACACUUCAACCCAAAUUUAUGAAAUCCUUCAAAAAUGCCAACUUCCAUAAUAUGCGCCGAAAUACUCCCGGGUCAACCAAAACCCGAUCCGGACAUACGCCCAAGUCCAAAAUCAUCAUACAAACCUGUUGGAACCUUCCAAUCUUGAUUCCGAGGUCGUUUACUAAAAAUAACCCUUAGUCAAUUCCUCCAACCUAAAGCUUCUUAAUUUAGAAUUUUCUCUCCAAAUCAACUCCGAACUCCCCGAAAUUCAAUUCCGACCACACGCACAAGUCAUAAUACCUGAAGUGAAACUACUCAAGGCCUCAAACCGCCGAACGACGCGUUAGAGCUCAAAAUGACCGGUCGGGUCGUUACAUACUCUCCCACUUAAACAUAUGUUCGUCCUCGAACGUGCUAAGAUCUGCACUGGAGUUGUCCGAAAUCAUUGUUUAAUACCUCGUGCACCUGUCGUGCUACCACAACCCAGUUGAGCACAUUAGCUCGAGCAAACCUGAAAAUCCUCCCUUUUAUUUAGUCAAGUAAGCCUUAGAGCCAAAUUCCAACAUCUGAAAUCCUCUACCAGGUCUGUUUCCAACAUACGAACACCAUAUACAUCACUACACGAUGCACCAAUACAUGAUUGCAUACCUUUACUGAAUUCAUACCAUGCACCGUUUAACUCACACGACCAUAAUAACAUCCUCUGACAAUGAUAGUCGAAAUCCCAUGAAUCUGAUGCCCACCGCACCUCAUGAAGCAUAUAAGUCCCGUUUCAACUCUCGCAAUACUACCACAACAAAAAGGAUGUGUAGAAAUUCAUAACCAACUUCCGAGUCGACAAAUCAUUGAGUCCCUCCUCUGGACAAGGACCAUUACCCCAUUGUGAACCAAAUAACAAUAUUUGCUUUUUAAUAUGCCUCAUAUAAUCCGAUCGCACUGAUCCCAGGUCCAAUAAUCUUGUCUCACCCAGUACAAGCUGCUUAGGCAAUAAGCCACCUCAGACACUGCAAAAAGUAUCAUAUGAUGCCACAAUGUGCCAACAAGCUACAAACUCGAAGUGAUACAUAAUGGAAAACGAACUCUGGAAAGAACUACUCAACCAACGUAACUAAUCAAACAAUCGAAAGGAUGUUAUGAACCUUCCUCAGAAACGAGAAACAAAACACACAAGAAUAGAUAUGGGAAACUAUACUCAAUAUCAUACUGUUGCGGCGUGCAACCCGAUCCACACAUGAUACCGUUGCGGCGUGCAACCCGAUCCAACUAUGAUACCCGUGGUGGCGUGCCACCCGAUCCAAACAACAUAUCCGUGGCAGCGUGCCACCCGAUCCACACAUAAUAAUCUAAAGAAGACACACAUCGAGUCGUAACGCUUAUACUCACGAAAUGCCUGAAUCUCAACCAUAAGCACACCAAGUGCAUAAUACAAAUCCUAAGGAGACGAAUAGCACCAUACGCUAUGAAACUCAAGCACAACUAAGGUGCAACAAAUGACAUGUAUCUUGAGAGCCUUCCUGCUCUCACAACACCACAAAUUUCCCGGGAUCUCAAUACGAGUGCGAAUAAUCAAACCACCUCACAACCCACCUGGCAUAAUAUAGAUUACACGAAAUAGCUGACGAUAGACAUAACAUCCAAGGCCCGAAGACCCCUCUAAAAUAACGCUAUGCUGAAAUGAACACAUCCGGCCUGAUAUAGGGCCCACAUUCAUAUUUAGAUCCAUCCACGGACCUCAAACCGAUUCUGAUCAUACCAUGCUUGGCUAAAUAGCCCCUCAAGGGCCCACAAUGACCUAUUCAUGACACAUAAGAACAACCGUCAAAUCUGAAAAAAACUCACAUGGUCCACAACCCAAGGAAUAGAAUGCCUCUCAGGCAUAAACUCUCACACUUGCGAUAUUACCAUGACCUCCAUAUUCGGUCUCAAUCUUUAACAAUCGAGUGACUGACAUGUCACACUUAUAAAAAUCUCCCUGUGGGGCAUGCUCCCACGACCAUUCCGCUUAGGUAGCAAGUCUGCACCUCCAUACUGCCGGCCACAAUAAUGCUGUAAAGAAAAUCAAGAAGCCACAAAUCAGUAAACAAAGCCUCUUACACAGGACACCGAUCUCAGGUGACGCUAAAGACAAUACCAGCUUACUCUAAACAUUUGAAUUCUUCCCCGCUCAUCCGAACUCUUGACAUUCUUGUCGACGUCGACUGCAACCUUGAUCCUCAACUUCCAAUUCCCAUGCCGCUCAGUACACCUAACAUACCAAUACGUGAGAGUACAAGAAUUACAUCAUAACUCCUGAUCCACUAAUAGAAUAAACACUCCAUCACAUAGCAAGCUUUUACUUAACUCAUUUUAGGAGAACCAUUGCAACAUGCGACUGAAUUCACAUAACAACAGAAAAUACAAUCCUCAAGUAGUGGUCUAAACCACCAUAACUCUUCCGGGAUCCAUCUACACAUAACAAGCCAAAAUACUCAAAUUCCUCCAAAUAAAAUCAAUUAUGGCGGCCGUCAAGCCUCGCACGCACCGCCACAAAUCACAUGUAUAACUUAACACACUGAAGGAACUGAUCAUUGCUAACAUUAUGCCAAUUCAACUGUUGUUAACCGAUCCGAUUUCUUCUAAUUUACUCUGGUCUUGCCUUAGGAAUAAUAAUAGCUCCAUUCAAAAUGUCAUGAACCACAAUCCGCACUCAUCCUGAGUGACCUUAUUUUAUGCGAUCAUGUUGUCUCCAAAACCCACGAACCAUCUCAUACCCCCCUUAUGCGCAUAUUCGCAUCUUCAACUGGUACAUCCAUUCUGAAAGUCUCUCUAUGAAUCUGAAGUUAUUUUCUCCCAUUCCUCCAAUGCCACACCGCAGACCGAAGAUAACGUAGAACACUCCAAGCCACUUUAAUAAUCCACUGCAAAAACCUCGAUACUUAACCAUACUACGGACUCAAAAUCCUGAGGCACUGCACUUUAACUUUUGAAUCCACUAGGACUGUUGUUGAGAGUCACCCACUCUGGCUUGGUCCCGAAUAUAACCAACUCCAAGGCUCUGCUAGCACAUCUACACCCUCUCAAAGAAGCAAUCGACUAAAUUCUUUCUCCUUAUACAUCACAUCCCCCACGAAGCAUAAACUCUAAGUCUUCCCAAAACCUGAACAUGAAUCGAUAUGGCCAAUUACAACACACAUUCCACAAAUCCUUUGCUCAAAUUACCACUGAUGUUCUCUUUCCUUAGUCAUGAUAACCCGCCAAUACACUGAUAACCAGAAACCGCACAAGUUGACAACUACGCAAUCUAAUCAUAGACGGUGGGGCUCGCCUACUUAGCUUGAAGCUACCAUUGCAUAACUCUGGAACCCACCAAGAUUCCUUAUCCCCUAUUGUCAUGAUCUUGCACAACCAACCUGCCAAAUUUCUCGAAAUCCUUAUGUUAAACAUUUCAUGAACAUUCUGAAUCACUAGCCACAUUCAAAUAUUUGACCUCUUACUGGAUAGCCAGUAAAAUUCUUCAUAGAAGCUUCAUCAACACCAAACGACCGCUAACCUACUCAUAGGAGAUAACCCACAUGUGAAAAUUACAUGCCGACAUCUUCCAACAGCACUGCACCGAGUACAAUUACUAUGAAAUCAAUAAACCACCCUGAGCCCGUGCUUAUUCACCAGUUGUACAAGUCCGUUCACUCCCAAUUGACAUCAACUAAAGGUGCGAUGAUACAUCCCAAUCCAAAGUCAUGUUGCAUCCCUCUUUGUAUUAAGCAACCCCCUCCUGUCGCACCCAAUCUUCCUCGAUAUAGCAGCCAAUAUACCAAAUUAAGCACGUAGACCUAGUCACUGUCCACCAUGAAUACCAAAUCACUCUAACUUCCCCCAAGGCGUGUAGCUAUCCCACCACAGAACCCGUAUGUUGCUCUACCACUCUCCCACUUUGGUCAAAUCCUCUCUUUUAAGAAACUGCUCGACUUCUAUUUCCUUACACUUGGCCUUCUAAAAGUUUAACCACCGUAAGACACCUCCCAUAUGUACUUCCUCACCCUUCACUGCCCAAUUAUUUCCUUAACUCAAAACUUAUCUCUGUAGCACCCGAACCAAUAGAUCGCCGCCAACUCUAAACCUCCCCGAAGAUCAUCCUCCUUGAGCCACUAACUUUAGGAUUACCGAUUCGAUUCUGAACCACAGCACAUUGCGACAUUUGACAACCGCUUCCCGGGCACCAUACACACUACUCUGCCCCAAAGGCAAUUUGAAAAAGGCCAUAACACCGGCGAACCUAACACUUUCAACAAGAACGAUGACACCACAUCACAGAUGAAAAUCCCACCACGCUCAAAAAUACCAAGUUUCGUUACUCCAUCAAUCCAAACCUGAACAUUCUUAGUCCGAUUGCCUUUCCUCCAUUGGAAAUAAAACACUAAACCCUUGAAUCAUGCAUUGAGAAAAACCUCAUUUCAAAUCAUUCACUGCCCCUACACAUAGACAAGUAUCCUACUAUUACUCAAACACUAUGCGAUAGCAAUGCACGAAUCGUCAUAACAAUCAAUGCCAAAUCUCAAAACCUUAGGUAAUACUGAUACUGAGCUGCAACGACAGAACGGCUUUCCGCAAGGCGACGACAAUAGCCCAAUCAAAUAUGCAUGGAGAAACCUCCUGCACCACAUCUGUAGUACCAUUAAAAUUCCUCGAUUCCCAAUUUAUAACAAGCGCUUCACGUCACAUAAGAUUGAAUAGGAAGUAAAUGAAGUCAUAAGCCUCAAAGGAAUCAAAUCGCACGAUGAGGAAUCAAGAUGGAAGUGCUUCUAACAGAUUCGCGAGACUCUACUAGACCCGCUCAUGACUCGUGAGACCUAAGUGAACCUAGUGCUCUGAUACCAUAUCAUCACGACCCAAAAUCCAUUAAGGGUCGUGAUGGCGUCGGACACUGCUGUCAGGCAAGCCAAAAAUAACUACUUAAUUUGGUAAUCAUUUUAAUAUUUCUGAAAUCAUAUUUCCUUCAAUUAAAUAGUAAAAGAUGGAAUUUACAGAAUAAAUAAUAAUAUUUUUAACAAUUUCAAUACAGGACAACCUAUACUCACCCCAAAAUCCGGUGUCACAAGCGCAUGAGCAUCAACUAGGAAGUAAAAUAAAAUACAGCAUCUGUCCGGAAUACAAAUUGGACAGGAAUAAUAUAAAUACUCUGAAGGAGACUCUGUUGGCUGCGGAUCGUGGUAUAGAGUGCAGCUCUCCUAAAUCCCUGCAAUAACCGUGUCUGUGCGCCCACAAGGCCACUAGACUGAUAUGUACCUGCACAAAAAUGUGCAGCAAGUGUAGCAUGAGUACGUAAAUCAACACGUACCUAGUAAGUAUCCCGCCUAACCUCGAAGAAUUAGUGACGAGGGGUCGACUUCGACACUUACUAUGGGCAAAAAAUAAAGUAUCAAUGAUAUAAUUAAGCAUGAAUUACGUAGAACGGCUGUAAGCUCAAUAUUCAUGAAAUAAGUAAACAAUUCUUUUGUUAAUAAGAAAUUUCAAAAUUUAUUUUCGUCAUUUAACAUUUUUGUAUCUCGGGCCAAUAAAAGCAAUAUCAAUUAUUAUCAACUCUAGAGAUAUAUUAUGCGCAAAUCAUGCUGAGGUCGUACGGCCCGAUCUAACAUAAAUAUUUAAAUUGUGCACUGCCGAGGGUCGAACGGCGUAAAUCAUAGAUGCAUCUAUCUGCUACCGAGGCGUUCGGCCCGCUCCACAAAAUAGAAAACACAUUAAACAACCAAUUCAAGAGUUAUUAAGGGGCAAAUAUUUCAAGAAUUUCAAAUUCUCAUUUAACGGUCAAGUAGAUGAAGUUUAACCUUUUUAUAAUCCCCUUAUCGAAUUUCUAAAUGUUUUAAACAAUUCAAUUAACAAGUAGGGCGCACACAUCGCAAGUACAACAUGAUAUGGGUCCUAGACUACCCGGACAUAAGUAUAAUAGUAGCUACGCAUGGACUCUCAUCACCUCGGCAUACGUAGCGACCACAAAUAGAAACACAUAAUGAUUUGAUUCACCUUUGGGGUUAAUUCCCUCUUACAAGGUUAGAAAGGAGACUUACCUCGCUCCGAAAUUUCAUAACCGGCUCCCAAGCCCUUCCAACAACUCAAAACGAUGCCCAUCGCUCCAAAACUAGUCAAUAAAGGUGCAAAUCCAUAAAUAUAUACUCUAAUACUCAUUAUAAAUCAAUUUACAACAAUUUCCAACUCCGCUCGAAAAGUCGAUAAAAGUCACCCUCAGGCCCACGCAUCCGGAUUUCGAAAAUUUUUAAAGACAAACACUACGCAUAGCACUACGAACUCAUAUAUAUAAUUUAUUCCCAAUUCCAUGUCCCAUUUCAUGGUCAAAAUCCAAAAAUACCAAAUUUCUAGGUUUUUCUUCAAAAUCCCAAAUUUUUUACAAAUUUCCAUGUUUGUAUCCAUAUAUAAAUCAAGUAUUUAACUUACAAUAGGUGUGAAUCACUUACCUUGUCAUAGAUGAUGAAAAUCUCCCCUUGAAACUCUCCAAAAUCGCCCCUAACAAGUGAAAAAUGGGAGAAAAAUGAACCAAAGUCCUGUUCUUAAAUCAAUCUGCCCAGCUGACCUUCCGCACCUGCGGUACAUCAGCCGCAUCUGUGGCCAAAACCUCGCACCUGCGCAUAUCUUCUUCCCAGCACAGCUCCGCACCUGCGAUGUCAAACGCGCCCCUGCGGUCUCGCACAUGCGGAGACUUUCCGCUUUUGCGACUCCAGCUGCCAGCUCGCAUUCCUCUUCUGCGGAGCUUUCCUCGCAUCUGCGGGCUUGCAGAUGCGGAAACAUUCUCGCAUCUGUGGCCAUCCCAGCUCCAUCCAAAUAUCGCUUCUGCGACCACAUCGUCGUACAUGCGGGCUCGCACCUGCGGCCCUUUUCUCGCAGGUGCGAUUGCACCAGAUAUCGGCUGCCUCAGCAUUUCUUCCAAGUCUAAACUCGAUUCGUUAACCAUCCGAAAUCUACCCGAAACCCUCGGGACCUCAACCAAAUAUACCAACACAUCCCAAAACAUAUUAUGAACUUAGUUGAGCCUUCGAAUCACAUCAAACAACGCUAAAAUCAUGAAUCGCACCCCAAUUCAAGCUUAAUGAAAUUUAGAACUUCAAACUUUUACCUUCGAUGUUGAAACCUAUCAAAUCACGUCCGAUUGACCUCACAUUUUGCACACAAGUCACAUUUGACAUUACAUACCUACUCUAACUUCCGGAAUCGAAAUUCGAAGCCAAUACCAAAAAGUCCACUCCCGGUCAAAUUUCUCAAAAACCUUUAAAUUCCAACUUUCGCCAAAUGACCUUUAAAUGGCCUACGGACCUCCAAAUCUACAUCCGGACGCGCUCCCAAUACCAGAAUCACCAUACGGAGUUAUUCCCAGGCUUAGAAUUUUAAAUGGACAUCGAUAACAUUGAAAUACACUUUAACCCAAAUUUAUAAAAUCUUUCAAAAAUGCCAACUUCCAUAAUAGGCACCGAAAUACUCCCAGGUCAAUCAAAACCCGGUCCGGACAUAAGCUAAAGUCCAAAAUCAUCAUACAACCCUGUUGGAACCUUCAAAUCCCGAUUCUGAGGUCGUUUACUAAAAGUCAACCCUUAGUCAAUUCCUCCAACUUAAAGCUUCUAAAUUUAGAAUUUUCUCUCCAAAUCAAUUCCGAACUCCUCGAAAUUCAAUUCCGACCACACGCACAAGUCAUCAUACCUUACAUGAAACUACUCAAGUUCUCAAACCGUCGAACGACGCGCUAAAGCUCAAAAUGACCGGUCGGAUCGUUACAGGUAUUGAUUGGAUAACUUAGAAUUGAGAGCUAUAAUACACCCCAAUCAAUAAAAUAAGUGUUAACGUAAUUAACCUAUUAGGCGAACACCUAGGCAAAGGUUACAUCCCUAAGCUUUUUACCUAUUUGAAAAUAGCUAAAAAUAAUUAGUCAAUUUCUAGCUUCAUUUCUCUAGUUGAUUAUUGAUAGUUUAGUUUAUAGAAGUAAUUUGUAAAACCAACUUGAUUGGAAGUGUAUUUAAGCCGUUUUAUCUUCACGCGUCAAGUAUACACCCUAACACCCAUUGUUAGCUCCCUGAGAAAAUCGACCUUGACCCAUAGUUGGGUACUAUUCUUCCAAUAACCUCUUCCACUCAUUGUUGAGUGUGGAUUGGGAGUGGAUCAAUAAUCAAUUUUCUUUAUCCAAAAUAGUAAUAAUUGGCUCUUCCAGAGCUCUCAAUUAAUUUUGUACUGCCACAUAUUCACCAACAUCCAUAUGGUGAAUAUCUCUUUCAAGGAGAAAUUUAUACCAUUAUGGUCAUGGUCAAAAUUAUUAUAGGCAAGAUAUGUUGCUUCAAUAACUUUUCCCCUAUAAUAAUCACAUUGCCAUAACAUUUUAGCAUAAUCACAAUAGGUACAUGAUCAAUGAUAUUCAUGCCAUAAUCAUGAAAUUAUUUUCUUAUUUCAUCUCAAACCUCCUUCUAGAGGUGAGUGUGGUAUAUUCACAACCUCUAGCAUGUUCAUAUUCUUCCAAGAAUAAAUAUGUAUUCAUAAAUCAUAUGUUGUCACAUUCACAUCAUGAAUGGACUAUAAUCAUCUAUAUGUGUUUUACAAAAUCUCAUGUCAAAUCUAUGACAAACAUUAAUUUCACAUAGUGAAGGAUUAUUUUGAGAAUCCUUAUUGUUCUCAUUACCACAAUGAGGACGAUUAUAAUUUCGUCUAUUGCCACGUCCCCAUCCAUUGAUGCCUUCACAGUAAUAAUUUUAUCUUCUUUCAGACUUAUCACAUACUGCAACCACAUUCUCUUAAGGGAACGAGAAUAAAGCAUAUUUAAUGGGACGAGUUUUCACUUCUUGUGCUCAUAAUCAUACGUGAAUUUGAUCAUGGCAAGACAUAGAAAUUUUACCAUUUCGGGUGAUUAUAAUUUCUCACAAACUCUAUUAGAGUAAUGAUAAAAUUUUAUUAUCUUUGUUUGUAUUUAAAAUCAAAUUAUAGAAUUUCAAUAAUGUAAAAGAGAAAAAUAAAGUAAAAUACUUACCUUAAGUCCAGAAUUUUUCUUGCAGGAAGUUCAUGGAACAACUGACAAUCUUUAUGCUCAAUAUUAUGUAUGAGCUGAGUACCAUGCACGUAUCCCAAAGUCAGGUGACCGAAGCAGAUGCUUAGUAUAGGAAUAUUAAUGUAUUCACCCCAAGAGCCUCACGCAAAUUCCUAUAUCUUCUCUCCCCGGGUGGUUUAAUUUCUCAAACACUAGACAACUAAUUAAUAGUAUAUCUAUAAAUCAAAACUACUGCCCUCUACUCAAUUGGUUAGAGUCUCGUGUUGAUAACGCGUUAUAAAAUAAUAAAAGAAGAAGAGUAUUAUAGAGAAAAGUAGAGAGAGAAUUCUUGUUGAUUGUGAUAAACUUCAAUGAAAUAGAACCUCUUUAUUUAUAGGGAAAAUGUGACUUGGCCACAAAGUAACAAACCCUAAAAUCUCUCUAAAAUAUAGACAUUUACCUUAAAUACAAUUCUAUUUAUAACAAUCCUUUAAGUCUUACUCUGCUUCUAUGCUUGCAUUUUCAUUCUUUGUGCUUUAUUUUUUUCAAUUUUUUUUUUUUUGCAUUCUUUAAUUUAUUCUUUUCGAGUUAGUUUUUGAUUUUAGAAUUUCUUUCGUUGUAGUUUAGAUACUGUUUUGAAAUGCUUGUCUCUAUUCUGGCUAUUUAUAUUACUAGUAUCAUGAUACGCGCGUUGUGCGUGAACACUAUCUCGAUGAGUAUGAACUAUUAAAAAUUAUAAAUUAUUAUAAUAAAAAUUAUAUUUGAGUGCUAAAAUAAAAGCUAAAGAAAAAAAUAUGAGUUUUUGAAAAUAGUAUUUGUUGAUCCUAUCUCGUUAACACAAUAAACAUAGAAUUUAUACCCCAUAUAAGCCCUCAAUCAUAUCAAUUAAUAUAUUCAACUUAAAAAUUAUUGAAAAUUUUAUAAUAUCGAUACUGCAAUUUCACAAGUUAUGAUUCUUCAUUUUUUAUUUUAGCAAGAACGCAUUAACCCUUGAAAAUUUAAGAGUUAUUUUAUUCCGUUAAUUUUUUUGGAAAGCAAUAUAUUCUUAAGUUCAUCAUAAAAAGAUACAAACAAAGUCAAGUAACUGACAAAAGAUGUCCUUUUUUUCUCGAUGAGAAAAUACAAAUUGUGCUAUUACUUUAAUCCAUAAGAAAAAAUAUAGUAAAUAUUUCAACAAAUUAGUAAGGAACUAAUCGUCUAUGAUUGUAAUAGAAUUACAUAUAAUUCACGGAUUCUAAAAAGACGAUGUUAAUACUAUCCUAGAAGCAUUAAAUUAAAAUAUAAACUUUAUGUUAAAAUCAAAAUUAGAUUUAGUUCUACAUGUUAGACAAAAUCUUAAUGCUUGAAGAAAAAAUUAUUUUUUCCAAAGGAAUAAAAGUUGAUGUGCACAUCAAUUUUGACUCUGUGGCAAUGAACUCUAUAUAACUCACUUUAUAAAAUUUUAGGGUGUUAGGUAUCUUAAAUAAUUAUAUUUUUAUUAUCUUUAUUUUCUCGAACAUCAACAACUAUUUUAAUUCUUUGACAAAAUUUGUUUUUCAAAUUCAACACAUGACAAAUAACCAAAAUGUUAUUUUCAAAAUAAUUCUUCCAACCAACACUAACAAUAUUUUUUCAAAGCCAAAAUCUUCAUUGUUUUUAUAAAUAGAAUAUUUGGCUUUAUUCUUUAUACUUUCAAGCUUCAUAAUCUAUUAAAGACAUUUUGGUUUGUUUGUAUCUAGAGGAAGAAAAGUACUCAUAGUUGCAACAUUAAGUAUGUCCAUCAAACGUUCUUUUUUGGAAUUAUUAGGAUUAUUAUUCUAUAUGGAAGAAGCAUACUUAUAAUUACGUGGUAGUAAUUAUUUUAUUCAAUUCAAAUAAGGAGAGAUUUAUAAAAGCUUGCAUGAAUUUAAAUUCUUGAAUAUUAGAACUUCUUAGAUAGAACAAAUAAGCAAAUAUUUAAUAACCAUAAUUUUAGUUGAGUUCAAAGUCCUAAAUAUUAGAAAAAUAAAAGUCCUAACUAUUAGAAAAAUAACUGAAUUACUAUUUUGUUUGGUGUAAAAUCUAACUUUAAAGAGUGAAAAAGAGAACGAUGUUUUACUAAGGUGAUUCAUACUUUUAAUAUAGUAUAGAUAUAGAUAAUGAGUAUUUGUAAUUUAUUAUCUAGUUAGGUUUUUAAAUAAUAACUUUAUAUUACGUCCUUUUAAAUGUUUGAAUUACUAGGAACUAGAAUAUCUUUUUACAACUCUAAGUAUGUUCCAUCAUAGUCAUGUUAUAGGUGUAAUCUACCUUUAUGUCUUUUGCUUUUUCAAGUAAAAAUAUAUGCUUAGACCACGAAUCUUACCUUCUGAACAAGAAACAUAUCAACUAGCACGUAGCACAAACAAACCAAAAGAUCCCACCAUAUCCAACCACCCACCCUCCAAACCUACAUACCUCCAUAAAUUAAAUCUGUCGUCACCAACUACCCACUUAGACUACGAAUCUUACCUCUCACCUCUCUCACCCUUAAUGACAAAAACAACCAUGUCAAUCACCCACAAUUUAUCCCAAUUAUUAGGCAUGAAAAAAUCAGACUAUACAGUCCAUGGACCCAAUCUGUUAUUGUCAAACUACUUGGACCAAAGGUGUCCUACAACUUCCUAAAAAAUAAAUAUCACAACCCAAAACCUAACCUGUCGUGAUGGUGCCUAUCUCAAUACUAGGCAAGUCGACAAUCUCACUAAACCACAUAUCUUUUAAAUUUGAAAACAUAAUGAUUAAAUUUAGUGGAAAAAAUCUCACGAGUACAAAUAUAAAUACUCCCAAAACCUGAUGUCACUGAGUACAUAAACAUCUAAUAUGAAUACAAGUCUGAAAAAUACGGUUUAUAAUAGUCUGAGACCAAAUACAAUGAACAAGGAGAUAGAGAAGGAGAGGCAAUGUUGGCAAAAUAUGGCAGCUACCUCUGAAUCUCCAAAAAAUCAACUGUACAAAGGAAUCAAUACCCGCUAUGUCCGAAAAUACCUGGAUCUGCACACAAAGUGCAGGGUGUAGUAUAAGUACAACCAACUCAGCAAGUAACAAUAAUAAAUAAGGAACUGAAGAUAGUGACGAGCUACACAGUUAUAGAUCAUUUUAAGUAAUUCCAGCAAAGAAUAGACACGCUUUCAAAUCCGGCAGUUUAAGUCAAAUCAGUUUUAUACAGUUCAAGUUCAGGUAAUUCGGAUAUAAAAUCUUUCAGAAAUUUCACAACAAUGACAGAUAGCAACUAAGUGCAACAACAAAUAAAAAGCAAGUACAGCCUCUCAGGGCAACAGUCACUCAACUCAUCACAACACCUCAAUCACUCGGCUCUCAGUCCUCAGUACUCACACUCAAUAGGUACCUGCGCUCACUGGGGGUGUACAGACUCCGGAGGGGCUCCUACAGUCCAAACGCUAUAAUCUGCACUGACAACUCAUGUGCUAUAAUAUCAAUAUCCGAAUUCGCACGGACAACUCACGUGCUAUAAUAUUAAUAUCUUGAUCUGCACGGACAAUUCACGUGUUGCACAGACAACUCACGUGCUAUAGUAUAAUAUAAGAAUUCGCACGGACAACUCACGUGCUGCACGGAUAACUCACGUGCUAUAGUAUAAUAUCUCACAAUCAGGCCCUCGGCCUCACUCAAUUAUAAAUCUCUCCAGUCUCUCAAUCUCUCAAUAGUCAUGAUAAUUAUCCCAAACAACAAUAAUAUGAUGCAUCAAUAAUGAACAAUAGAGACUGGGAUAAAAUAAAUAAGUAAAUUGCGACUGAGUACAAAAUAACAAUUUAGCAGAUAAUUCAACAUGUACACGACCUCUGUCGUCUUUACAGCACCAACACAUAGCCUAACCAUGAUUCACUGUCAAAUUUUUAUAGCACAGAAAGGGCACAUAGCUAACAACAACCUUAUUCACUUUCUAGUUUCACAGAAUGGACCAAGUCUUAAUUUCCACGGUGCACACCCACACGCCCGUCAUCUAGCAUGUGCGUCACCUCCAAAAUACUCGCAUAAUAUAAUAAUUCGGGGUUUCAUACCCUCAGGACCAUAUUUAAAACUGUUACUUACCUGAAACCGCAUAAUUCUUUAUUUCGCUAUGCCUUUAUCUCGUGAAUUGGCCUCCAAACGCCUCGAAUCUAGCCACAAUGUCACGACCCAAAAUCUCACCCAUCGUGAUGGCGCCUAUCUCAGUACUAGGCAAGCCGAUAAUCUCAAUAAACCACCAUAUCCUUUGAGUUUGAAAACAUAAUAUCUAAAUUUAGCGGAAGAAAAACUCACAAAUACAUAUAUAAACACUCCAAAAACCCGGUGUCACUAAGUACACGAGCAUCUAAUAUGAAUACAAGUCUGAAAAAUACGGUCCAUAAUAGUCUGAGACCAAAUGCAGUAAAUAAGGAGAUAGGGAAGGAGAGGCAAGGUCUGCGAAACAUGGCAGCUACCUCUGAAUCUCCGAAAAAUUAACUGUGCGAAAGAAAUCAACACCCGAUAUGGCCGGGAAUACAUGAAUCUACAUACGAAGUCCAGGGUAUAGUAUGAAUACAACCAACUCAGUAAGUAACAAUAAUAAAUAAAGAACUGAAGAUAGUGAUGAGCUACACANNNNNNNNNNNNNNNNNNNNNNNNNGGAUAUAAAAUCUUUCAGAGAAUUUCACAGCAAUAACAGAUAGCAACUAAGUGCAACAACAAAUGAAAAGCAAGUACAGCCUCUCAGGGCAACAAUCACUCAACUCGUCACAACAAAUCAACCACUCGGCUCUCAGCCCUCAGCACUCACACUCAAUGGGUACCCGCGCUUACUAGGGGUGUACAAACUCCGGAGGGGCUCCGACAGUUCAAGCGGUAUAAUCCACAUGGACAACUCGCGUGCUAUAGUAACAAUAUCUGAAUCCGCACGGACAACUCACGUGCUAUAGUAUAAUAUAAGAAUUUGCACGGAUAACUCACGUGUUACACAGACAACUCAUAUGAUAUAGUAUAAUAUCUCAUAAUCAGGCCCUCGGCCUCACUCAGUCAUAAAUCUCUCCAGUCUCUCGGGCUCUCAAUAAUCAUGAAAUCGGCCCAAACAACAAUGAUAUGAUGCAUCAAUAAUGAACAAUAGAGACCUAGAUAAAAUAACAAGUAAACUAUGACUGAGUACAAAACAACAAUUUAGCAGAUAAUUCAAUAUGUACACGACCUCUGUGGGUCCCUACAGUGCCAAUAUAUAAUCUAAACAUGAUUUCUAACAUGAUUUAUACUCAAAUUUCUACAACACAUAGAGAGCAUAUAGCUAACAACAAGUUAUUCAACUUUACAGUUUCACGGAACGGACCAAUUCACAAUCCCCUCGGUGCACGCCCACACGCCCGUCACCUAGCAUGUACGUCACCUCCAAAAUAAUCGCAUGACAUAAAAAUUCGGGGUUUCAUACCCUCAGUACCAGAUUUAUAACUAUUACUUACCUCAAGCCGUAUAAUUCUUUAUUCUGCAAUGUCUUUUCCUCGUGAAUUGGCCUCCAAACGCCUUGAAUCUAGCCACAAAUAAUUUGAUUCAGUCAAUAAAAUUUAUUAAAAUUAAUUCCUUGAGAAAAUACUAAUUUUCCAACAAAGCCCGAAAUUUAGCUCAAAAUUUGCCCGUGGGGCCCACGUCUCAGAACCCGACAAAAGUUAUAAAAUCCGAAAGCCCAUUCAACCACGAGUCUAACCAUACCAAUUUUUAUCAAAAUCCAAUCUCAACUCGACCCUCAAAUCUUCGAUUUAAACCAAGAGGGUUUUCUAAAUUUUCCAAAUUAAUUCACCCAGUAAAUAAUAAAAAUAGUCAUAGAUUCGGGUAAUUUAACCAAUAUUGAGUUAAGAACACUUACCCCGUUGUUUCCUCUGAAACUCUCCCAAAAAGCGCUUCUUCCCGAGCUCCAAUCCGUCAAAAAUGAAAAAAUUUCAGAACUUAAACUCUCUGCCAAGUCAUUUGCUCUACGCGAUCACGAACAAUCACACAUGAUCGCGAAGAACAGUUUUCCACUGCCCAGGUUUAACCUUACGCGAUCGCGAACAAUCACACGCAAUCGUGAUGCACAAGAUUCCUUCUCUACACGAUCGCAUCCCUCUUCACGCGAUCGCAUAGAACAAACGCGUGGCCCAGCUUCCUCUCAAGUUUUCCCUACGCGAUCACGGCCUCUUCCACGCGUUCACGUAGCACAGACUGGCCCAACUUACGCGAUCGCGGUUGACCUCACGCGAUCGCGAAGAACAAAAUCAACACUGCCUCAACUAAGCCUACGCGAUCGCAUCUCAAUCUUCGCGAACGCGAAGAAGGUCUGAAACACUAGCAAACAGCAGCUACCAGCAGUGCCAAAAUGAAGGAAAAUAAUCCGAAUACCAUCCGAAACACGCCCGAGCCCCUCAGGACCCCAGCCAAAUAUACUAACAAGUCCUAAAAUAUCAUACGAACUUAGUCGAAUUUUCAACUCACAUCCAACAACACUAAAAACACAAAUCACACAUAGAUUCAAGCCUAAUGAACUUUGAAACUUUCAAUUUCUACAAAUGACGUCGGAACCUAUCAAAUCGCGUCCGAUUGACCUCAAAUUUUGUAUACAAGGCAUAAAUGACAUAACAGAGGUAUUUCAAUUUUUAGAAUCGGAUUCCGACCCCGAUAUCAAAAGGUCAGCCCCCGGUCAAACUUCCCGGGAAAUUCAAUUUUUGCCAUUUCAAGAAUAAUUCUUCUACCGACCUCCAAAUAAUUUUUCGGACACGCUCCUAAGUCCAAAAGCACCAUACUGAGCUAUUGGAAUCAUCAAAACUCUAUUUCGGGGUCGUUUACACAUAAGUCAACAUCCUGUCAACUAUUUCAACUUAAGCUUNNNNNNNNNNNNNNNNNNNNNNNNNNNNNNNNNNNNNNNNNNNNNNNNNNNNNNNNNNNNNNNNNNNNNNNNNNNNNNNNNNNNNNNNNNNNNNNNNNNNNNNNNNNNNNNNNNNNNNNNNNNNNNNNNNNNNNNNNNNNNNNNNNNNNNNNNNNNNNNNNNNNNNNNNNNNNNNNNNNNNNNNNNNNNNNNNNNNNNNNNNNNNNNNNNNNNNNNNNNNNNNNNNNNNNNNNNNNNNNNNNNNNNNNNNNNNNNNNNNNNNNNNNNNNNNNNNNNNNNNNNNNNNNNNNNNNNNNNNNNNNNNNNNNNNNNNNNNNNNNNNNNNNNNNNNNNNNNNNNNNNNNNNNNNNNNNNNNNNNNNNNNNNNNNNNNNNNNNNNNNNNNNNNNNNNNNNNNNNNNNNNNNNNNNNNNNNNNNNNNNNNNNNNNNNNNNNNNGGACAGGUCGUUACACACAAAUAAUUCGAUGCAGUCGAUAACAUUUAUUGGAAUUAAUUCCAUAAGAAAAUACUAAUUUUCCAACAAAAUUCGAAAUUUAGCUCAAAAAUCGCCUGUGGGGCCCACAUCUCGGAAUCUGACAAAACUCACAAAAUCCAAUAACUCAUUCAAUUACGAGUCCAACCAUACUAGUUCCACUCAAAUCCGACUUCGGAUCGACAUUCAAAUCCCAAAAAUUUAUUUUUUGAAAUUUCUACAAUUUUCCCCAAAUUUUCAUCUCAAAAUACUAAUUGAAUGAUGAAAACAAUGAUAUAUUCAUGUAUGUUAAUCAAAUCUGAGUUAGAAUCACUUACCCCGAUGAAUUUCUUGAAAAACCCACGAACAAUCGUCACAAACCGAGCUCUCUAGGUCUCAAAAAUGAAAUAAUACCCUAGGCCUCGGUUAUAUAGUACACCCUCUGACCUCCCAAUGUGCGGUCCGCAUUGCGAUCGUACAUUUCCAAGUUCUACGGUCGCACAAAAAUUGUGCGGCCGUACUUCACAGCCUCUCCACUACCAGGCUUUGGUAAAUUGGCCAUAACUUUCUCUACAGAUGUACAAAUGAUGAUAUAUUUAUCUUUCUGGAAAUUAGAAACGAAGGGCUACAACUUUUAUUUUUAAAUCAUCUCCAAAUUCCUUGUGGAUCAAAAGAUAUAAGCUUCCGAAAUCGGACCAGUGAACCUGCAGAACACCCUGAAGUGCGGCCGCGGACAAAAUUGUGCGGUCCGCAUUUUUCCUCUGCGGUCCAUAUAUUUUCAUCUACUGCAGCACAUUUUCAUCUGCUACAACACUCAAAAAUGUGCCUCAGCACAUAAAAUUGUGUGGUCCGUAUUUCCAACGUUCCAGAACAACAUCAGAGUACCGAAAUGCUCGGACUCGCUCAAAACUCACCCGAGGCCCCCGAGACCUCAAUCAAAAUACACCAACAAAUCGUAAAACAUCAUACAAACUUAGUCGAACCCUCAAAUCACCUCAAACAAUGCUAAAACCAAGAAUCAUACCCCAAUUCAAGCCUAAUGAAAAACUAAUAAUUUUCAACUUCUACCUUCAAUGCCGAAACCUAUCAAAUCAAGUCCGAUUAACCUCAAAUUUUGUACACAAGUCAUAAAUGACAUAAUGGAGGUAUUCCAAUUUUCAGAAUCGGAUUCCUGCCCCGAUAUCAAAAAGUCAACUCCCCGGUCAAACUUCCAAACUUAACUUUCUAUUUUAGCCAUUUCAAGCCUAAUUUAGCUACGGGCUUCCAAAUAAUUUUUCGGACACACUCCUAAGUCCAAAAUUACCAUACGGAGCUAUUGAAACCAUCAAAACUUCAUUCUGGAGUCGUCUGCAUAAAAAGUCAAAUCGGUCCACUCCUUUUAUUUAAGCUUCUAAACAAGGAUUGUUCUUUCAAUUAAAUCCCGAAUCAUCCGAAAACCAAAGCCGACAAUUCACACAAGUCAUAGUACACAUUAUGAAGCUGCUCAAGGCUUCAAAUUGUCUAAAGGAGCGUAUAUGUUCAAAACGAUAAGUCGGGUCGUUAUAAUAAACUACACACCAUCUGGCAACCAAAAGAACCACUCAAUCUCAUCGAUUUGGGUUACUAUUACUAUCUUAUCAAAUUCACGGUUCAAGAAACUUUCCAAAAAGUUCUGCAAAAAUGGCCUUGGUUCAUCGGUUUACGAUAUCUAUCGAUUCGUCACUCGUAGCCCAAAUUUAACCCAUCUCAAGCCCAUACUCCUUUUUCCACCAUUUGGAUCCGUUUACCACAACUUCCUACGGAAUACUGCGACCUCCAAACUUUACAAAAAAUUGGAAACUUUUUUGGUCAACUUCUUAAAAUUGAUGCCUACACCAUGCAAACCACUCGAGGACAUUAUACUCGUUUAUGCAUUCUAGAGCCUCUUGAUAAGACUCUACCCAUUGGAAUCUUAAUUGUCACUCAUCUACAACCCAUUCACUACGAAGAAAUGACCCCACUAUGCAAGCUCUGCGACUGCCUAGGACACAUUUUACACUCUUGCCCGUCAAAACUCUCAAUUGGACCCUCCAACAAUGCUAAAGCCCAACCUCAUGAACCAAUCGUGACCAAUGAUGACAAAAGCCUAUGGCAUACAGUCACUUUUCCAAAACAAUACUAGAACUACUCCACAACGUACCCAACAUCCCACCGAACCAAACACACACAUACCCCCCACUUCCCCUAUAAUUACCCAAAAACUUGCCUCUCAAGCCACCUUUAUUACCCACAGUAUUCCACUUUUCAAUUGUUUCUUUUUUCCACCCCUGACCCUACCAUUGAUAAUAAUCAUUAUUCUCAUAUUCCUAUUUAAUAUGUUCCCCCUCCUUAUGACCACACAAGUUCUCAUAUGGAUUUACAACAAAUUAUCCCACCCUACCAUGUUUCAUCUGACAAGACCCCACCCCCACCAUAGCAAUUGCAUCACCUUUUUCAUCAAAUAUAAGUAUGCAUCAAACCUCUUUCACACCAACAUGUCUUCCCUAUUUCUUCUACUACCCACAUUACUACGAAAACCAAGGCUAUUUCUCCAAAUCAUUUCUUAAAUACGGCUGCUACUACUCAUCAUAAAAAACAAGACCAAACCUACUACAACACCCAAAACCCUACUACCUCUACUUCAACAGCAUCAUCCAUACCCAACCCUCUUUCACAAUAUCACCACGCCUCCAACACAGUCAACCAGAUCCAUAUCCUUAUGCCCUCAUCUACUAACACCACACCACAUUACAUCAUACCCUACCCAAUUACGAUCACCCACUCUGAUAAACUUACUCCGUCUGCUACAGGUACUCAAGUGCCAUCGGAACUCAUGAACGCUCAACAUUUUUCGGUCACCUUGUCACCGCCAAUGCAAGGUAAUGACUCAUCCAUAGCUAUAAAACCCAAUAAUCCCAUCCAUACAUCACCACAUCUGCUAUCUUCUUCACCCAACACUCCUCUUUCUACUAACAAUGCAUCGCCACUACCCUCCAAGACAUUGCCACCACAAGAACAGGAACCAUGUACCUCACAUCCAGAUCAACAACUACCACCUUUCACCUCCACACUUUCACUACCUCUCUCACAGCCCCUCCUACUGGGUGCCCCAAUAUCACCGCCACCCCCUUUCAACCUUGUACCACUACCACCACCAGAACAUCCUCUAGUGCACCUGCCGUUAAACCUUCUCUUAUUCCAGCAACAAGUCACGACAAUACUAGACCACAACGACCUACUGAUGACGUUUAUCUAGGAUGGACUACCAGACAUCCAUCAGCAGGAUCAUGCUAUGCAAAUCCUCCAUCUAUAGGAUGUUGCCGCUUUGGAACUCAACAACCAACUUACUUAAGCUCAGCAAUAUUUCCUCCACUUCAACUACUGCCGCCAACUUUGAAUAUACCCCCACUUCCAUAAUUCUAGCCCUAUUACAAUGGCCAGCCUCAACACGUAUUCCUAGAAAUGAUGCACCACGCUCCACCAUAGCUGGACAUCCCUCCGCGACCACUGACUCUGCCUCCAUCACCACCAUUAGCCACGCCAUCAUCGGACAUUGAAGACGAAGAUCAGAACCAUCAGUCUCUACAUUACACAUUUAUGGAGAGACUGAAUCUGAACAACCUCUCACUCUUUCCAUGCAAGAAAACAUCGAAAGAAGGUACUUGAUUUUGGAUCCUCCAAUGUUGGAGAUGACCUUCUUGAAUAUCCACCUCGACCCUUACUCUGUGGACCAGAAGUAUGUCAUCUUCUUGAUACCAACACUGCGUCCACCACCACUACCUCAGGAAGAGAUGGCAAACAACCAUCAACUCAUAAUGAAUUUGGCAAUGGCAUUAGUACUGGGAGGGAGCUCAUCCCCUACGACAAAUAGAUCUAUGAAGAUCAUGUUGUGGUGGAGCCGUGGCGCCAACUACCUAGAUUUUAGGCGUAACUUGCAUUUUUUGUUUAAUUGGAAUAACCCUACUAUUCUCUGUCUCAUGGAGACUAGGAUAGAGGACCAUACCUCUCUCCUCAAUGAGUUUAACUUCACUGAUCGUAUCCAAGUUUUCGCUCAAGGAUACUCUAGUGGUAUUGUCAUGCUCUGGCGCGCACAUGACCUCAUUGUUGAUCCAAUAGCAAUUACUGCUCAGGAGCUUCAUGCUUCUGUCCAGGUAUCCCCUACUAUACCUAUUUGGUAUAUCUCAUUAAUAGAUGCUAGCACAUCAUACCACAAUCGCCAAACACUAUGGCACAACAUACAACAGUUUGCACACGCUCAUACAAAUGCAUGGACAUUAUGUGGUGAUUUUAACGAAGUUUGUAAUACUAAUGAAAAAUUUGGGGGAAAUCCUAUUAACACUAAUCGCUCUGAAGCUCUUAAUAUGUGCUUACACAAUGCUAACCUGAUUGACCUAGGCUUUCACUAGCUCGCGUUUUACUUGGAGUAAUAAACUAAUGACUCAUAAUAAACUAAAUGUUCCCGCACUCCAAUGUUCUUCAUUUACCUCGUACACAUUCCGAUCAUUGCCCCUACUUUUCGGUCUUCAUAAAGCGACUACUAGACCUCCUCCUACAUUCAAAUUUGAAAUCAUAUGGCUCACUCAUCCUGAAUUCCAAUCUGUGAUCGCCACUCACUGGCAUCACACCUCUACAUAUUCUCAAGGCAUACAUGAUUUUGCUGAUCAUGUUCAACACUAGAAUAAACAUACCUUUGGUAAUAUUUUCUACAAGAAGAAAAUCCUCAUUGCUCGCAUACAUAGUUUACAAAAAAUAGAUCCCACCAGGCAAAAUAGCUUUCAUUAUAACCUAGAAAACUGCCUUCAUAUAGAUUUCCAAACUACACUAAGACAUGAGGAGGAAUUCUGGAAACUAAAGUCAUGUAUUAAAUGGCUAAAUGACGGUGAUGCCAAUACCAAAUAUUUUCACUUGUCUACAACAUAAAGAAGAUGAUGCAACUGUAUUAUCAAUCUACAUGACCACGUAGGGAAUUGGACAUUCGACACUUCCAUAAUCAAAACUACUAUACUACACCACUUCACUGAUCUAUAUACCACUGAAUUACUUUUAUGUUACCCUGAAUACUUUACCCCAUCCACUAUCUCCAUUUCCCUUACAAAUCAACAACAACUAUCUCGCUCACUUACACUUUCUAAAAUACAUUCCUCCAUUUGCUCCUUUAAACCUUUCAAAGCCCAAGGCCCUGAUGGCAUACAUCCUGUUUUCUUCCAACGCUUUUGGAACCUUAUUCAACAUGCUAUCAUCCAAACCUGCAUGGAUGCUUUCAACAAUUGCUCCAUCCCCCCUUCACCUCAACCAAACUUUUCUCACCUUAGUCCCAAAGAUUAAGCAUCCUUCCAAUAUUUCCCAUUACCACCCGAUUGGACUUUGUAAUACGAUCUACAAAUUAAUCACUAAAAUACUGGUUAAUAAAAUUCAGCCCUUUCUGCCAACAAUAAUACACCUCACUCAAUGCAGUUUCAUUCCUGAAAGAUAGGCUGUAGAUAAUGCCAUAAUAGUACAAGAGGCAAUUCAUUCCUUCCGUAAAACAAAGGAUCGCUUUGGCAAAAUGAUGCUAAGAUUAGAUCUAAAAAAAGCGUUUGACCGAUUAGAAUGGUCAUUUAUUUCGUACUCUCUCCAAAAAUUAAAUUUUCCUACCCCUAUUAUUAACCUUAUUAUGUCUUGUGUUACUACAUUGUCUAUCUCUAUCCUAGUCAAUGGGACACCCACACGCUUUUUCCAACCUUCUCGUGGUAUCCGUCAAGGAGACCCCUUAUCAUCCUACUUAUUCAUUAUUUGUAUGGAAACUCUUUCUCAAUUGAUUGAUGAAGCUACACAACUGAAAAAUGGACUACUAUAAGGAUUUUCCGACAAGGACCAACUCUUUCUCAUCUCAUUUUUUAUGACGAUCUUAUUCUCUUUGCUAAAGCAGACUUACAAAACACUCAUGAUAUCACUAUCAUAUUUCAUCACCUUUCUAACCAAUCUGGCCAACGUAUCAAUUUUUCAAAAUCCAAACUCGUAUUUUCAAAAAAUGUAUCGUAACACACAAAUUAAUUUAAGUUGUACAUUAAAUAUUCAUACAACAUCUAAUUUCAGUAAAUAUCUAAGUUUUCCUAUGCCUAAUUUCUACCCCGAAGUCAGCUGAUUAUCAGUAUAUUCAGGAUCGCAUGAAUAAUCAUCUUCAAGGUUAGAAAAUAAAAUUUCUUUCGCUAAGUGGCAGGGCUACCCUCAUCAUAUCUGUACUUAACUCCAUACCCACUUAUGCCAUGCAAACUAACAUACUCCCACACAAAUUCCUUCAUCAUAUUGAUCGUAUCAAACGUCAUUUUUUUUGGGGUUCCACUGCAUCCCACACCAAAUUACACCUAACUAAUUGGGACCUCGUUACUACACCUAAGUACCAUGGUGGAUUAGGGAUUCAAAAAUUACUCCUAAGAAUAUGACUAUGUUAUUCAGCGUAACAUGGCGCUUCACCCAACACCCAUCAACUUUAUGGGCCAUGAUCCUUCGAGGUAAAUAUUAUCACCAUCGUAGUUCACACUAUCACUGCAUCUCUUUUACUUCAAAACCAUAAGAUUCAUACAUUUGAAGAGUAUCACCAAAAUAGCUCAUAUAUGCCAUCAAGGCACUGUAUGAAAUAUAGGUAAUGGCCAAAUCAUUAGUCUUUGGUACGAUCAAUGGAUCUCCCCCAACUUCUCACUUUGUCAACUAAUUCAAGGACCCCAACUCUCCCAUGAAUCUACAUUGCUGCUUAGCCAUAUCAUCCUUCCUUCAACCUAUAAUUUAUCAACGUUAUCCUUUGAACUCCCUACCUCUAUCUCUCUCCUUAUCCAUAACACAUAUGUGCCCUCUUCUUCUACUCAUAUGAAUUUAAUACACUGGCAACCAACCUCUAAUGACUUGUUCUCUACUGCCUCCGCCUAUCGACCGAUUCUAGAAUAUACCUACACUACCCAAAAUUAAGCAUUUUCUCUGACUUCUCCUCCAUGGUAAGUUACCCACUGCUGCUCUUCUAAACUCUCGUCAUAUUCUUCCUCGCCCUGCAUGCUCCGUUUGUGGCCAUGCUUGGGAAGAUGCUUCACAUAUAUUUACCACUUGUUUACCCGCUAUCCACAUUUGGCAAUACUUUGCUAUUUUCGUCCCCAACAACAACCCAAUACAUGGCUUCAACGCAUAUGCACUGAUACUGAUGCUACUUACAUACAUCACCGUAUUGCUAUUCCUUUCCCGAUUCUCGUCCCUUUUAUCGUUUGGCAUAUUUGGCUGACACAUAAUCAUAAUCUUUUUAAUCGCUCAGCUUUACCUGUAUUUUAUCAUGCGAUUCUCACUCAUGCUAUUGAGUUUAACUGAUUAGCCACUACUUCACAACAGCCUAAACCCACUACAAUCAUUCAUGUUGGUUGGUCUCCUCCCCUUACUAGGUAUAAACUUAAUAUUGAUGGCGCUUUUGACAAUCACUCAAAAUAUGGAGGAGCUGGUGGUGUUGUCAAAGACUCUUCUGGCAACUGGAUUAUGGGCUUCUCUAAGUCUUUGUAUCUCACUAAUGUCCUACAAACUGAAUUAUUAGCUAUCCACUUUGGCUUAUAGCUUGUCAUUGAACAGAAUCUCACACCACUUGCUGUGGAGACUGACUCACAGGUGUUAGUCACCCUUCUAUCGACGACCAGUUCUAAAUACUCACAUUUAUUUGAUGAAUGCAGGCUGAUGCUCCGUAAUCCACAAAUCCAUGAGAUCCAACACACAUUUCGGGAGGGGAAUGGAGUUGAGGGUCAAUUGGCAUGUUUUGGCAAGCAAAGGGCUUCUGAACUACAUCAUGAUGCUAUGAUUUUUGAAACACCCCCCACUUUUAUAUUGUCUCGCUUAAUGUUUGACUUAACGGGAACUAUAAUCUCGCGUUCAGUAUCCUCUAUGUACUAGUACUUUUCGUUUUUAAUAUAUCAAUGCGUGUUAUGACAAAAAAAAUGAUGGUGAGUAAUUUGGAAAUCUAGCUCGAAUAAGCGCAAAAUGAAAGAAGAAGAAGAAGAAGAAGAAGUAAUAGACAAGGCAAAAUAAUACUACUGCUUAAUUAGGAGUAAAAAAGAUCGAAAAGGAGGAGGAGGAAACAGAAGGAAACAGAAGUAGAAAAUCGUCGGUGAAAUUAAAAUUCACCAAGAACACAUGUAAGUCAAUUAUUUAUGAGAUGUUGCAGAUUGAAAUUAAUGCACCGAUGACGUCAAUUAAUAUAUACAAAGUUAAUAGCAGGAAUAUUACGAAAAUGAUAGUAUAACGUUUACUCUAGCAGGACAUAAUGAUUUAUCACAAUCAUCACAUGUUAGGAUUUGUUAUUUUUCGUUUUUGUCAUAUCGAUGAUAUAACAAAAUAAAAGUUCAAUCAAGCUAUGUCAAUAUUAGACAGACAACAAAUCCGUGUGGAGUGCAGCUGGGUUAAUAGUUAUAUUUACACCGACCCAAUAAUACUACAUAUUUUCAAAUAUAUUCUUAUUACUAAAUCAUAAUAGUAAUUUAAUGCAUAUUCUCAUAUAAAUUUAUGACUUAAUCGAUCAUAAUAAAUUAGUCUGGUUUAACAUAAGCAUCAGAUGUACCAUGGUUUUUUUAAUUCAAUAAUUGGUCACUCUUUCUAUGUGAGAAGUGUGAACCGUGAAUAUAAAAUGCGUCUCUGCUUGUGUGAACUGUGAAUAAUGAGUGCAAAUUAAAGGACGUGUCUCAUAUUAUAAAAAUUGGGAUACACGUUUUCUUCUUCUCUUCUUCCCCAGAAGACUGGAACGAACCUCAACAAGAUAUAUAUAAGCAUUUUUAUUAGUACCCAGUGACACACUACAUCUCUCAAAAUAGCAAUAUAGACAGGAAAUUAGGGAGAAAUGGGAAACUGCUGCCUAAAGCCUGUAGAUAAUCUUUCUACCACUAUUAAGCUUUCUAACCCUCCUGCAGGUAUGUACCAUUAUUUUGGUUUUGCAAUUCAUCAGAUUCUAUCAAAACAAUUCAUAUUUCCAAUUGGAUUUAUCUAUGUCCAUUAAUGCCAAUGCAAAUGAUUUUUUUACAAAAUCGGUGUAAUUUAACUUGUUGUAGAACAUUCUUGUCUUAUUUCAGGUUACUAGCUAGUUCUAUUGAUUAUGACUAAUUAUCUUUAUUACCUUUAAAAUACUACCGAGUAUAGCGGAAUAGACUCUUCAUUCUUAACCAAAUAUCUUGAAUUCGGUAUUGGAAGCUCUUCCCUUUUAGUGAGCCGCGAAUUCAAAUUAGUCAAUCUAAUAGAUUGUUGCUGCCCAGUAGUUAGGAAACAUAUGAACUUUAGUGAUAUGAUAGUGUAAAAACAAUUCAUAUAGAACUUUUUUGUGUAUAUUUUCAGCCCUUGAUUUAAAUUUUAUUAUGCCAGCAUCCAAGAAACCUAGUACUUCUCUCAUCAAUAACGCCAAGGUGGUUCAUGCCGAGGGAACCACGAACGGUGGCGGCGGCGGUGGUGCUGGAAAAGAGGAAGUGGCAACAAGUGGGAAAAUUAUAACACCCAAUUUGAAAAUGUACAGUUUUGCGGAAUUGAAAAGCACAACGAGAAAUUUUAGACCAGAUACAAUAUGGGGGGAAGGAGGAUUUGGUAGAGUUUUCGAAGGUUGGGUUGAUAACAAGACAUUAGCUCCUUCUAAAGUUGGCAUCGGAAUGGCAGUUGCUGUCAAAAAAUCUAAUCAAAUAGCCUGCAAAGUCUCAAGGAAUGGCAGUAAAAAUUUAAGUUAUAUAUACGGACAGUUGAAAAACUUGUUGGAGAAAGUUGAUCAUAUAUUUCAACAGUGAAAAUGUUAUAAAAAUUGAACACAUUUUUAUGAUUGUGUGUGCAGGCAGAGGUAAAAUUUCUGGGAAAAUUUAGUCAUCCAAAUCUAGUACAACUAAUCGGAUACUGCUGGGAAGAGAAGCAAUUCCUACUUGUAUAUGAAUACAUGCAAAAAGGAAGUUUAGAAAAUCACCUUUUCAGAAGUAAGAACCUAUAUAUAUAUAUUUUUUUUUAUCCACAUAUUUGUUACAGAAUAUUUGAUAAUUACAAGAAUAUGUUAUCAAAAAGUUUGACACAAAUAUUAUUGUCGGAAAACUAGAAGAGGGUGCAGAAACACUUUCGUGGGACACAAGACUUAAGAUAGUAAUAGGAGCAGCUCGAGGUCUAGCUUUUUUGCACACAACAGAGAAGCAAGUCAUUUACCGCGAUUUUAAAGCUGCCAAUAUUUUAUUGGAUGGGGUAAUUUCUUUUUCUCUUAUUUGUUUAAAAGUUCAAUAGUAACUUAUUAAUUUUCUUGUUUUGAAUUUCAACUUUUAAUUUACGAAUUAUACUGUAUAAUUAACAAAGAGAUUAAUUGUUCCAUAUUAAUUACUUGGGGCAGGAUUAUAAUGCCAAGCUUUCUGAUUUUGGAUUGGCUAAGUUGGGUCCUGCAAAUGGCAACUCACAUGUGACCACAGGAGUUGUUGGUACUUAUGGGUAUGCAGCUCCAGAGUACAUGGCCUCUGGUAAUUUUUACCCUCUUACUACUUCUACCUCUUAGCUAAACAUAUGAUCCCACAAGUGGGGUCUGAAAAAGGAUUGAGUGUACGCAAUCUUAUCCCUCCCUAACUUGUAUGAGAUAAAGGGACUAUUUCCAACAAAAAAAAAAACGUUUUCAAAACAACUACUAAAAUGUAGUACCAAAAUCUACAUUUUUAUAGUCAAAUUGCCUAGUGUAUAGAACAAUAUUACUUAAGUGCAUGAUUCGAAGCUCAUUAAAAGUUUUUCUCUUUUGAUUUUAUUUUUCUUAUUCAUGAACCACCCCUUCUUCAUUAAAGAAAAAAUUUAGAAAAUGGGGCUAAAUCAACAAGUUAUGGGGAGAUUGGUUUUAUGACUCAUUAGAAGUGUUGUUUAGUUAAUGACCUUUUUUGACAAGAAAUAUGAGAGAUCGAUAAAUAAAUAGGAAAUCUUGUAUGAUCAUUUUAUUUUAACUUGUAAUUGGUCAUAGAAGACGUUUCCUCCUCUUUAACUCUUUUAUGUGGGUGCUAUAUGAGCAAGACCAAUUUUAGCCCCAAAUAAAAAACAAUAAUACAACGUAAGCUCAACAUGUUUGCGAUAAUUAUUCAAACAGUCGUUGACCUUGUGCUACUUUAUUUGGAACAGGACAUUUAUACGUGAAGAGUGAUGUGUAUGGUUUUGGCGUUGUAUUGCUGGAGAUCUUAACGGGCCUCCGGGUACUGGACCUGAACCGGCCCAAUGGAGAACAAAAUCUAGUGGACUGGGCCGAACCGUUAUUACCAGACAAGAAGAAGCUAAGGAAACUAAUGGACCCAAGGCUAGAGGGAAAGUACCCUACAAAGGCUGCAUUUGAAAUAGCACAACUAGUACUCCAAUGUCUUGAGCCUGAUCCUAAAACUAGACCUUCCAUUGAACAAGUUUUGGAGUCUUUGGAAAAAAUUAACACCAUCAAGAAGAAACCUAGAGAAUGCAAUGCCACCCACAACGUUCGCCUCUCCACGUUAAGAAAACUGUAAUUGGUAGCAACACGCACCAUUCACCCAUCAAUCGAAGCUAUUGAAGACGACCUGGCGUGUAAAUAUAUAUUUCUAAAGAAUUUUCUAAAUUACAACAUCGUUAUAGCAGGAUAGCAUUAUCUUUCAUUUUUCUUCUCAUGAUUUGCCCUUUUAAGUUACACUUUGCCUUUUAUUACUUGAGGGUCAUGUUUCCCUUUUUAUUACUUGAGGGAAAACAAAUAACCUUUGGGAAAAAAUUAUUGUCAAAGUACUCAUUACUCAACCUCACUUCUCCUCCCCCUUUUACCUUCUUGCCCUCUUCUCUAUGUAAGGCAAUCUUAAUUAAGUAAGAUCUAAUGGGUAGGCAAGUAAUACUGAACAGAAGCGCAGAGUAGCACCAAAAUGAGCAAGUAUGACAUAAUUUUGGCACAAAAACUUGAAAGUGUGAAACAAGGUAACAUAGAAAGAAGAUGACCGCAAUACUUGAACAUACAUCUGGACCUUAUUCAAGUGCAACAUAUAUUGUGUCGAAGUAAACACAAGAUAUCGAAGUUUGGUACAAACAGAACAUAAAAAAAACAGUACACUUUAUAGCACAACAAACAAACGUAAUGUUUUUCUUGGUUUAGUAUGCAACUUGAAACGUUUUCCCAGUAGCGUUUUCAUCUUAGCUUCAUCACAUUGUAGGCUUUACAGUGAGACGAGAAGCGACCUUCUGACCACAAGACUUGUCAGCCUGCAAUGAAUCCGCGCAAAAGAUUAGUUUUCGUUUCCCGCUCUUAAUGUAAGGAUAAAGAAUCAUGCGAAAGAAGAAAAACUCAAACCUGAGACAAGUAUGAUAUCCAUAUACUGCGUAUCUCAUAAGUGACUCGGGGAUCAGAUAAAUGCUCAACCCAUUUGCUAACAUAUCUGUCUUGCCUGAAAUAGUACAAGUACUCAAUUAUUCUGCAGGUUCUUGAGAGAGGGAAGAAUUGGCGAUAUUAAUGUUAUAGAACAACCAAAUUAAAUUACCUGUCAGGUUCCCAGGAUCUGUAUCUCUCUCCUGCCUGCUUGAAGUUGUUCUCUUUUUCAAUGACACACUAAAACACCAAUAAUAUAUAUGUGAGUGAAGAUUAAACUCAUUUAAGAAUACAACUCCCUGCACUGAUUAAUGAUUAUGAUGAACAAUAAGUAAAGAGGGUCUCACCAUUUCACGCCUUCCUGUCAAGACACGAGAAGGAAUUGGGUACUGUUCGGCAUGACGACAAGGAUCAAACCUUGAGGGCAAAUAAUCCACCUGCAACAUCAAGUCACAACAUCAGAAGAGUACUAAUAUGAACUUGCAAUUAGCCUUGGUAAGUCAAAAACAUUAGUAUACCUCUUCAUCGCGAUGCAUGAAGUUCAUAGCACCAUCGCGGUGAUUAUUGUGAUGAGCACACUUGGGAGCAUUAACAGGAAGCUGCAUAUAGUUUGGUCCAAUGCGGUGUCUCUGAGUAUCAGCAUACGCGAAUAUCCUGGUCUGGAGAAGCUUAUCCUCCGAAUAGUAAACACCAGGGACAAUAUGGCCAGGGUUAAACGCGAGCUGCUCAUUCUCAGCGAAGAAGUUAUCAAUGUUCCUAUUCAAUACCAAUCGACCAACUGGCAUCAAUGGCAAGAUAUCCUCAGGCCAGGUCUUGGUUACAUCAAGAGGAUCAAAGUCGAAUUUGUCUACAUCCUCAGUAUCCAUAAUUUGGAUAAAAAGUUUCCACUCGGGAUAGUUUCCAGCAGCAAUCGAGUCGUAGAGAUCCUUGGUGGCGUGGCUAUGAUUUGUACCUCCGACCCUAAUAGCUUCUUCCUCCGACAUGCACUUAACACCACAAGUUGGCUUCCAGUGAAAUUUCACAUAAUGUGCUUUCCCAGCCUUGUUUAUUAAUUGAUAGGCGUGAACACCAUACCCUUCCAUGUGUCUGUAAUCUGUCGGGAGACAAACAUCAUCGAAGAACCAAGCGAAAGUAUGCAAACUCUCCGGAAGGAAAGAGAAGAAAUCAAGGAUCCUCCAGUAUUCCUGAAUGUGUGACUUUGGAUUUGGUUUCAGUGCACGAAUCGUGUCAGGGAACGAUUUUGCAUCACGAUUAAAGAAGACGGGAACGUUGUUUCCAACCAGAUCAAAGU
Molecule: long non-coding RNA, 53842 nt
Filed under: Nicotiana tabacum (common tobacco)
Lineage: Eukaryota; Viridiplantae; Streptophyta; Magnoliopsida; Solanales; Solanaceae
Description: long non-coding RNA (NTAB_LNC001781)
Source: RNAcentral